UCUUUUGUGGUAUUUUUGGAUCCUUAUUAAAGCAGUGAUGGUAUAUGCCUUCUCUCAAGAUAUGUGGUAUUUGUGGUAUAAGGCAUAGUGACAUUGCCUUCUCUCUCACCCUACUCUAAUAAGGCUUUAAUAUCUGGAGCUCAUAGGUGGGAGAUAAAGUAUACAUACUUACAAGACAUUUAUUGUAUAGUCAAACUAUGGAUCCAAAGAAAUAAAUCAAUAAGCCAAAUCAAUAUUUGCAUGUGUGGCGAAUGAAUGGUGUAUGGUGAUGAUGGUGAUAACAAUGCUAAAAGUCUAAUUCUACUUUUGCUCUCUUGAGGGGAUACAUACCUUCCUUGCUUUUUGAAAUUUUAUGAGGAGAAUGAGAUGCUCUUCUUUUUCUUUCCUCUCAGGUGGGUAUCUUGUACCCCUAAUUCUACUGUCGGACACUUGUCCAUUUUUACCUCUCGUCUCACUUUUUCUUUCUUUCGAGGUUCCGGGGACUUGCCCCUUUUUAUUUGCUCGUUUAUUUUUUUUUCUCUUUUUUUUCAGAGCAAUCAUCUCUAUAGCAAGUGGUAGUAGCAGGAUAACUUGAGCAUUUAUUUCACAAGGGAAAACAGAAAUAUUUUUGGCUAUUCUCUCCCGGAUUAGGAGUAGAAUAUUUUUGGGUGAUUCUGGAGAUGGACAUGGAUGGAUAUAUGUAGAUGGUACUUCCGGAGUAGAAGUAGCAUAUAUGAGUGAACGUGCAAGUGAAUCUUGAUUUAACCACAUGACAAGCUCCUAAGGGUCUACACAGCUUGACCACACUCAAUGCUCAUAAGUAGUAAAUAGUAAAUGUGUGGCUCAAAGUCUAGCAAGCAUGUAUAUAUGGCUGUGGUAGGAAUUUAAACUCUCAUCAUACAGGAACUCAUCAUGCAAUAUUUUAAAGAUUUUUCAAAAAUAAAAUUUUCCAAAAUUCUAGCAUCUCUAGGAAUAGAUAAACAGCAGCUCAACCUUCCCAUAUCAUAUCCGUUAACCACUUAGAUUUCAGAUCAAGUUUUCAUCCCACAAGUUUAGAUCUAGAGCAAGCUUUAAAUUAUAAUAGUUAUGUAUAAACUUGAGAGAGAACUUUAAAUUUGCAAAUUAGGCAGAGCAACUAUUCAUCAUAUCCAUGCUAGAGUUUCAUUAUUAAGAUUCAGAUUAGCAUAGCCACUUUAUUUAUUUAUUAAACACACUAAGCAAAAGAUAUAUAUAUAAGCACAAAAUCUUAUUUGGUUUUUCAUAGUUUAUGUAUUUUAAUAUUCUAAUCGUAAUAUAAGUAUAAAGAUAGGUAGAAAUACUUAGCGAGAUAAAUGGGGGUGCUCUUCCCCCAAGCUGAAUUUUGACGUAAUUUCUCUUGAUGUAGCUAGCAGGUGGUAGAGGUGUAUUUGAAAGUGAGCAGCAUUCUGACAGCGAUUAGAAUGUCCUCCGUCUGCUAGUCUUCUUGAUUCUUAAAUUCUGUGAAGCUCAAAUAGACAACAAAGCUUGUGGAACUAAUUAAGUGUUAGCAUAAAUAUCUAGCCUUCAGCAUGUUGAGCUUCCUCAAUAAAUAUUACUCCCUGUUUUUAUAUUUUUAUUUUAUAAAGCAGAAAAGAAAUAUUUAUUUUAUUUUUAUGCCACCAUAGUGAAGGUACUUAUGGGUUUUAUGCCACUCGUAUACUCACAUGGGGCUUAGUAUUUUUUAACAUUUUUAUUUUCUUUUCAAGAUAGCAUGAUUAACUAAUAAUCUAUUUAAGGAAAGUAAAUAAUUAAAGGGAAAGGGGAAUGCAGAAAGGAUAAAUAUGGAUAACUACCGAUCUUACCUUUCGGCGAGGGUUCAAUGUUUUAAGUCUUCUUAACAAGACUUCUCACCGUGUUCAUUCUUCACGUGCGUCAUUUGAUUCAGGUGCGGACCUUGACGUCUGCACCUCUUCGUUUGCCCAGCAGUUCGAAGUGCGGCGUUGGCAGUAUCCUGCUCAGUGUGUUUGUGCUCGUAGAUCCAGGUCCUUCACUUGGUAGAGUCUGAGAGUUAUAAAACUCUUCCGUGUUUUGCUCGAAGUGUAUCUGCUCAUAGAGACAAGGCAGAGAUCAAGUGCAUGGGUCCUGUUGGUGGAAAACACCAACAAAACCUAAAGUGUAUUUGUUCUUCUCUAACCCUAAGCAUAGUGAGCAAGACAAAGUUGAUGGAUGAAAAGUUCAUGAGUGUAGCACUUAUAACAUUUGUCAGAUUAGAUCGCUCAACCUUAUAGAAAGAUAAUCUAUCUAUGUAUAUGUCUUUUUCUUUAUAUCUCUCAAAGAUUGAAUGUGUAACAUUUUAGCUCAUAUGAUUAGGAGUGUGGGAUCAUGGAGGUAGUACUAAGAACAAGGAUUAAAGGACUAAACAUGUUGAAUCAGUUGGGUUGGUUAAUCUAGAGUUGUAAAUCAUACAUGUUUGUCUCUUUUAUGAACGCUAGAACCAAGGAGAAGCUUAUAAAAGUGAUAGUCAAGUACCUUAAGAUCUUACCUUGCUUGAAGAGUGAUGGUACAGUAUCACCUUGUGGAAGCUUUCCUUUCUUAGCGGUUGUGCAUCGUGUUUGUGGCACCCUCCAUGGAUCAUCUCUCUAUGAUGAAUGAGCUAUGUCCUUCUUGUGAAAAUUGUUAAACUUCAUGUGUCACUCUCUUCGUCUCUAAUGUGAGUUUAUCUUAGGACUUCCCAAAUCGAUAUUGAAAGUUUUCUGCAGGGGUUAGUCCGACAAAAUAUACCAAUAUCUACUCAAGCAGUUUUUAGUUCAGUAACCAAACUAGACUCCAUGUCUAAUCAGAUUAAGGAAGGCUAUUUAACCUAAGCACCAUGCUUAAUUUAAAUGCCAAUGGAUGUAUGGCGAGUACUUCCAAACCAACACUUGCUAGUAAAUAGACAAAGGUAGCAUGACAGCAUUUAUAGAGAUCUACUCAAGUGGAGAUGAAGUAGUGUGAUUAGUACUUAACAAAUUGAGCAUGUCUCAAAGGUAGGGACAACCAACAUAGCAACAUGGCAAAGGAUGUUUUUAUGUAAAGUACUCCCCCAAGCUUGAAUUUUACAAAAUUCAAGUUUGGGUGAAUUUAAUUCAAUGUUGUAUGAUGAUUGGCUGGACAUACCUUGUGCUUGUCAUUCAUCCGAUCUUCUUGCUCCAAUCCUAGAAUGGUUAGUGACAAGAAUACCCGAAGGAAUAUAUUUGUUUUUACAAUUACCCUUAUAUGCUCAAUACACCAGGUAAUGUUGUAAAUAAUUAAAAGCUCAUGUUAUGAUCUGAUCAGUGCUUAUUUUAAGACACUAAGCUUGUCCUUGGGAAACCAUCAAUUUAUGUCGGCGAAGUGGUUUCCCUUCCAACGCUGACCUAUAUCAAGAUCAACUCAACGAGAUCUGCAAUAUUUAUUAUAGACAUAUGCAUCGACAACCGCCCUUUUAAAGUUUUUGUAAAUAGAAAGGAAGAGGGGGUUGGAGAUCUCAAAUGUGGUAAUGUUGGAGAGACCAAUAGAUUGGGAAGAUGUUUCAUAUGAGCAUGGAGUAAAUGAAGUGGUUAUGAAAUAAAUUCUAUGCUCAUUAAUGUUAUUUUCGUCUCCAAUCUGAAUGUUCGGAGUUUCUUCUAGACUGGUCUCACCUAUGUCCUCUUCUGUAGUUGGAUGAACCUCAUCUUCAAAGGGAGUCAAGAACUCACCAUUUGAAAUUGAGCCAAAGUCAGAAUCCAUUAAGGCUUCUUCCUUAUCCAUCCAUUCUACACAUUUCAGCCAUUUAGAACUUAUGAUCAAGAAAUGGGAGCUGAUAGAAUUUUCUAUAUGGCUUAGCUCUCCUUCUAUGACAUUACUUGACAUGUCAUCCUUAUGGUCUUCAUGACUCCUACGGUUUGGUCGUCUUGAUGGAUUGCUAGGAUCAUCAUGAGACUUAAAAGUAGAGGGAUAAGAGGGGUCUCUAAGGUCAAGGAUGGAUUUAGAACUUGUGAACAUGGAAGGGGAGCAGAUAGAGUUUUCUAUAUGGCUUAGCUCUCCUUCACUUGAUAUGUCAUCCUCGACUUCUUCAUAACAGGAACCAGGACAUUCUCUAAGAGAACCAUUAUUGCGAGGAUUUGAAUUAUCCCUGCUUAAAGGUCUCUUAUGGAACCAAAAGUCUAAACCAUCAGCAUCUGAAAGAUUUAAGGUCGGAAUUCCUUCCUCCCUUGGAGAAUUUUGGGAUAUUGAUGGUUUAGGAUCGAUAGCUAAAGUUUGGGAUUGAAGUGGUUGUGAUCUGGCUAUCGAAACUUCUUCUUCUUGUCUAGGAACUGGUUCUCUCUCUUUCUCAGGGAUAUAAAAGCUAGAAGACUUUCCGCUCAUUAAAUCAAUCAAAUUCCAAGCUUCACUAGCGGAUAGGUGGUAGAAGGAUCCUCUAGAGGCUGUAUUCAAGGUUUGCUUAAUUUCCCCACUAAGGCCCUCAAAAAAUGAAUUAGAAGAACUUCUUCUGGAAUAGAAAGCUUUGGGCCAGUGAGAGUAAGGUUAAUAAAGUGGUCCCAUGAUUUCCUAAGAGAUUCUUCUUCCAGUUGUCUAAAAGAAAUAAUCUCACGCCGAAGUUCCGCCACUUUGGAGAUUGGAAAAUAUUUAGAAAGAAAACUACUAUAUAACUCCUUCCAAUCUCCAUGAACACUCCCUAUUUUGAGUUUGUACCAAUGUCUAGCUUUUCCCGUUAAAGAGAACGGAAACAGCUUCCAUUUAAGGGUCUCAUCGGACAUGCCUUCUAUGCGAAGGAGGUCACAGACUCUAUAAAACUCUCUUAGGUGUGUGUAUGGGUUUUCCUCACCUUCUCCUGAGAAAGGUUGUUUUUGAACAAAUUCUAUGUAUUCGGGGUCUAUCUCAAAACUAGAUGCUAUGAUAUGCAUUAGAGAUUUUGGUGGUUCGAGAUGUGUGCCCGUAGGUCUAUGAAAUUCAUAGAUAGACAUGUUUGAAUUCAUGAUAGACCAGAGAUCAAGGAUUAGAUAAGAAGAAAGAGUAGCAGAGAUAAGGCAAAAGAUAAAAGGAAAAGUAUAUAUAUAUAAUUCUUUUUUUAUUAUUAUUUUUUUAGAAAAUGAUUAAGCUAGUUCGUAGUCAACUCAGCAACCGUUUCCCCGGCAACGGUGCCAAAAAUGCUUGUUGACAGUUGUUAACACCACUUGAAUACUAGGUUGUCAUCCCCAGCAUGGCACUAGAGUGUACUAUGGUAUUUAUACGCACACAGAUAAUCCGCAAGCGCACGGAUACUGUUGAAGCUUUUACCUGGUUAAAGGUUUUAUCGUAUCCACAGGGAAAUGGGAGAACUAAUCUUAUGCUCUAACUUAACCAAGUUAAGUAAAUAGGUGUAAAUAGGAAAGAUGGUAGAAUUGAAUAAGAACAAUAUUAAAGGUAUGAUAACAAUGGGUGAUAAUAUGGGAAUAGAGAAUAGAGCAAUUCUAGUAUAUGGGCGAUGGUAGCAGAAUAGAGAGGAUAACUAUGGUUUCUCUACUUCAAAGGGGUAUGUCUAUGUCUGGGACGUACCACGUGAUAAGAUUACACCACAAAGGAUGCUUAUCCAUAGGUCGAUAAACCCUGCCCGUCCUGCUAACGAGAGGUGGACUAUAGAGGACCAACGUAACUGUCACCUACGCGGCCUACCACACGAUCCAGCUAGACAGGGGAUAUCCACAAGUAAUCUAGGUCUAAGCACCAUGCUUACACCUAUACUACAACUCUCACCUAUAGCGUCCUAUAGAUUAAAGUACUCAAAAGAGUUGUGAACCAGAACAUACAUGAUUAGUAAUUGCAUAAUGAAUUAGAAGUAGAUUACCAGAGUCAUCCCAUGAGCAAGCUUAAUUAGAGCUUGAUCAUGACGAAGUACAACCGGAGGAAGAACCGACAGGCCGGCCUCUCCUCCAAUCCUCCCUCGCUCUCUAUCUCGCUACUAUCUAUAUCUACUCUAGUUUAGAGAAGAGAGGAGAGCUCUCAUCUCUAAACCCUAGCUUUUGGUCUGUCUAUGAAUAAUGAAUAAUGAUCAAGGGGUGCCUCCUCCAGGGGCCAGGGGUCUGGUUAUAUAGUCCCCUCAAGUGAACCUGGGCCGUCGGAUCAAACCGACAUUGAUUGAAUGGUUAUUCUUGAUCCUUUAGGUCGGUGGAGAUCUCCCGAGAGAAAGAGUCCUGAUUGGGCUCCAAGUCAGGGCGGACGCCCAGGGCAGGAGGGCGGGCGCCUUGCCUCAGGCCCCGUUCGGCCUCCGCUUCCUUCCCGUGGCUUCUGGAGUCUUCUAGAUGUAAGAUAAUUGUGUGGCACGUUAAUAUCUCUAUGUAAUCCCGACGUGUGGGCCUUUCUCUUGUAUUUCCUGAUAACCCCCUAUAGAAACAGACAAACACCAAAACUCGUGGAAUUCUGUCAGAUAAAACCCUAAGUCUAGAUGUUGAUUUCAUUUGGAUCCUUUUCUUUGUUUAUUUGAUAAUUAAAUUUGAUACUUAAGGACCAUCAACAAUUUGUAAGGGCGGCUGAAUGUCGCACCUGAUUUUCCAAAGAAGACCAAGCGCUAACUAUAUGUGUGCCUAGGAUGUCCACACGACACAUAUAGCGACAAAUAUGGAGAAUAUCAAGAACAGUGCUUUAUUAUAUAUUGGAACAUAUUUACAACAUGGCUUACAUCUAUUACAAAGCAUAGCAGAAACUAAUCCUAAUCUUCACUUUGGGUCUCCAUUUUCCACAGGGACGGUUACCUGGGGGUACACUCGCCUAGUACUCCUGGAACAUCUCAGGGAACUCCGCCUUUGUAUCACCAUCUGGUACCCAUCCAGGAUUUUUGAUUGUUGAAUGUAAAGCAAGUGUGAGCGCACCAUACUCAACAAGUAUAACAUGAGGGGAUGCAAGCUCAAAAGCCUUGACUUGGUUUGACUGCGAUAAGCAUUUUUAGUUGGUCAUAUUUUAUUAUUAGACCUAUGUUUCUAGGUUAUGCUUAAGCUCCCAAGGUGAGAAGUAUAAUUAACAUCAACAUUACUCAUCACCCAAACCAUCCAUAGAACCAUCUAUCUCGAAAAGGAUCCAGGCCGCUCUUGACCGAGAGCACGACUGAUAUAUCAGUUUUUAUAACUCUGCAGAGUAUGUACAUCUUUACCCAUGAGUCGUGAUUGCCCUUUGCCCGAGGGGGCCAACCUCUUGACUCACUUCUAAGGUAAGUCGGCAGGGAUCACUACGUAACCUUUCACUAGACACCCUAACUAGUUAGUGGCCGCGAGGUUUCAGCGGCAAGUGUGCAUAGAGACCUCCUCCAAGAGGCACAUGUGGUCGUGGCACUGUACACACCAAGGUUGGAGCAAAACUAUACACCACGAGGCAACCCCCUCUUGCGCCUUUCGGUAACCACUAACAAGCUAGAGACAUACUAGAUACUUGAUUAAGAUCAGAGCCAUGUGAUUCUCAGGGUUGUACUGUAAGUCCUGGGUUGCCGCUUUAAGAUUCAGUCCUUACGGAGGGCAGACUAGAGCACCCAAAAAGGCCCAAUGCUCUAGCCCCCUGAUAUCCAUGUUGCUAGAAAGCAUCAUUAUAAUAUUGAUUCCAUAAUCAUUAAUCAGUAUUAGUAUUAUAUAGUUUGGUGAUUGCAGACUAAGCAAACUACCCAUAUGCAUAACCCCAAGGUAAACAAGGAUACAAGAUACAAUAGUUCUAGGUAAAGUCCUUAUGGGUUUAUCUUAUUAGACACAUGCACAUGAAGAGGUGAUUAAAUAGUUAUUAGGUAACAAGGGAACUCAUGUCACACUUGCCUCAAAUAGUGCUCCAACUUGUCCAACUUUCCUUUUGGAUCAUCCUUGUAUAGCUCCUUCUAACGUUAGCAACAACCAUCACAAGCAUCACAGACAAGCCUAAAAACAAUACAUCAAUCAUUGUAAAACAUCAUAUAGAGGUUUUAAAACAUGUAGGGCUAGUAACUACGAUCGUUGAGCGCAAAACCAACUAAACAAAGCUAUGGUUUAAAGUUAUGAAAAUUCAAAGGUAGAAGAUGGAAGAUAUAAAUGAUAGGAAUAGAAUAGGCAUGAUGUGUGUUGGCUAACUUGAAAGAUUUAAAUAGCAUAAGGUUUUAUAGAUGAAUGGUAAAUGAUCAGAGGAUUGUAUACAAGAUAGACUAGAGAUUAUGAAGAAUGAAGUAAGCAUAUAAAGAUUUAAGGGCUUGAUCACACGUGCUGGCUAUGCAAGCUUGAUGAGAGAAAGCAUAUACAUGGCAAUGGCUACACAAUAGUGAGAUGAUAUGGUGAGAUACUAUCAAGAUUAUUUAUAUGUGGUUAUAGAACACAAUGAGGCAAGGACAACUAUGAUGGUUGGAAUGGCUAGAACUUCGCGAGUGCAAUGCGGCCAUAGAUUUAAGGUGGAAGCAAGGCUGCACAUAAGGUUUGUGUAUCCUGAUUACUCUAUAUACAUUUGAUGGAGUGCUGCUGCAUAUGAGAGGUCAUAUGGGAUCAUAUUAUGGUCACUAGUGCACCAAAGCAAGUAGCUAAAUCCACAGGGGAAAUGAUUACAAUGAGCUGCACAUUGACUGAGCAUGCAUGUGCGAUGGGAAGUAGUGGUCCUUGCCAACAAAAUGCAGGCCUAUGCUAAGCUUCUGGGAUAGAUAUUUGGUGGAUUUGUGUGCAGCAACCAUAGACAUAGUCAUGCAAGAGAGAUCAGUGAUUUGAACAAUGGUUUGGUGGGGAACGUGGCAAGACUCUGGUGCACCUAUGAUGUGCAUGGCAGCAGACAACAGGGGUUAUGAUCCUUGAUGACAUGCUCUGAUUAGCACAAAUGAACAAUCCAUAUUUUUGAGUCAUCGUGGACUGUAUGAGGUAUGCUCUUGUAAAAGGGAAUGGUAGUUUGACCAUUUGUUAGGCGGAGAACACGAACUGAAAAUGGAUGGCAUUGCUGAUUUCCGGACAGCAAGAGUAGCAGGUACUUUGGCAUCAACAUCUCAGCCAUUGGGGCACCUAUGGCCAAGCCAACCAGUAGAGAUUUGUACAAGGAUAAGACACACAUGAUGCCUAAAGGGUUUGAUGAUUUGACUAAUGUAUGAUGGGGAAUAACACUAUCAAACAGAGCCACAACGCUGCUGAAACAGCAGAGACAACAGAAAACCGAAAAGACAAUGAUAUCUCUUUCAUCUUGAAUUCUAUUACCAUGGAACUUCUCAAGGGUGUGUGCAAAGGUACAAAACACACUAUGGUUGAAGGACACGGUCAGUGGAGCGAUGGUUCAACGGGAAUGCACAUGCCAACCGACAGGAAUGCUAAUGCGGGGCAGCAGGGACAUCAUGCACAAGAACAUUUAUAACUCUUUUGUGUUGGGCUCUAUGGUGAUGAAAUUUGGCAAAGACAUGUGCAACUUCAUGAAGAAUAGCAUGUUCAAAGGAUUUGAUGAUUGGAGGAAAGGAUCUUAUGGAACAUGCAUGCCAAUCGGAAACAGGGCCGCUGCAAGGAUGCAGGAGCAGCAAGCAUGAUGAUAUCAAUAACUUCGGUAUCGCUGGUCCUAUGACCAAACUAAUUUGCAGAGGCGUGUACAAUAUCAAGAGCUAUAUCAUGAUAAAAGUGUUUGGUGUCCAGAGGCAUGGAUCACUAGGAAUGCGAACGGUAACCGGCAGCAACACUUUUGGACAGAGGGACAGCAUAGAGUAUCGCUAGCAAACCUCGCCAAAACACGAUCUUACAAGAAUGAUGGUCCAUAAUUUACAGCAAGAAACAUGUAUACAAAAUGGAGAUCAUGUUGGGGGUCCUCACAUUGUGGUUAGCAGUAGUUGCAGAUGAAUUUGGCGGUAGCCUUCAUCGAUGAUGGGGUGGCGAUUGGGACUGCAAUCAGCAGGACAUCACCAAUUCCACUUCAGUGAUAAUCUACACCAUAUGAUAUAUCAUAGAGAUGGAUAGGAUGUAUAAGAGCAGCAAGAUCAACGAGUGAAAAUGCAGGGUCGACCUCACCAUGAGUUGCAGCCCACAUGCUCGGUCCAAAGGGGGAUGGCGACAACAUCCUCGACAUGUUCAGGCUUUGGGAUCAGCGGUGCAGCGGGAAACAAAAUGCAGCAGCGAGGGAUCGGUUUGGGGAUGUCCUGCAAUACAUGGGGAUGUCAAGAGAGGGAUGAGCAGUAGAAGACAAAACAUGUAGAGGGAAGGAAAUAAGGGAGGAUCAGCUUACUGCAGUAGAUGGGAUCGGUAGCCAGUUCAAAUCAUGAUCCAUUUGCUCGGGCUGGAAUUGCAACGAUAAAAUGGAAUCGCUGUUGCACGGGGGGCUUCAUUUUUGUCGAGAGAAAAGGGAAGGAGGAAGAGGAGGGACAUCCAUGGAGGUGGGAGGGAAUUCAUUGAUCUGCAUAGAGCAAGAGGAGAGGAGGUGUUGGCUGCUGUCUUUGUGGAGCAACAGCAGGUGGAAGAGGUGGUGUGAGAGGAGGAGAGGGGCUGCCCAUUUGCUGUGUGCGUGAGGGAGGGGGAGAGAAGAAUAUAUAGCUGAGUUUGCUGCAUGAGUGCAUGCAAUUGAAAAGAAAUAAAAUAGAGUAAAAGGGUGCUAUCAAGUGAGGAUUGAAGAGAUGUGUGUAACCCAAGGAAUUAAGGGGGGGGGGGAAAUUUGAUGCUGCUGCUGUUUUUGCAUGAGUGAAAAGGGAAUAUGGGCCAUAGGAAAAAAAGAGAGGGGCUGCUGCUGCAUGUGCAUGUAUGCAAUUAAAAGUAUAGAAUAAAUGUGCCCACAUGAGAGUGGUGAGUGAAGGGAGUGCUGUCAUUUUGCAUGAAGGAAAUGGGAAUGUCGGCAUUAGUAGAGAGAGAGGAGGGGAAGAUGCACCUAGUUGUUCUCUGCAUGGUUGCAUGCACAGGAAAGAGGGAGUGUAGGGGUGCUGCCAAGAGAGAAAUAAAGAAAGAAGAUGUUACCAUGAGAAUUGAAGAAGGAAGAAUUAGUUAUUGUUGCUAUUUUGCAUGAGAGAAUUGGGAGAAGGCGUCACAGACAGGAGAAGUGGUUUACUGCUCACUUGACGAGGAAGAGAAAAUAUUGUUGGUUGUUUGCAUGCAUGUAAUUGAAAGGUGGAAACAAAUGUAGAAAACAAAUGAAGGAUUAAAGGAGCACUAUUAAGAGAGAGAUGGGUGUAUGAAAUUAAAAGGAGAAAAUGCUGCAUCAUAUUUUGUCAUAAGGACUAGAGUGGCGUCUAGGCAGCAGAAAAGUGUGGAGGCCAGCCAUCUAUUUUCUUUAGUGUUUAUGGGCAUUAGAGCUUGAUCAAAACAGAGACAUAAAGAAGAUUAUAUAGAAGUAAUAUCUCUACUAUAAUUGACCUAACAGACUUAUGCUUGGUCCACCCAAAAAAACCACCCCGCUGAGGGUCUAAACUAUUGUGUACCCAGAAAAAUGUACACAAAAAAUUAUCUUCAUUAAAAUCAAGGGCUACAAAACCACCCGAAUCCAAUCCGAUGGCUAUCGAUGAAACUUUGAUGCAACGCGCGCUUCGGCCCUCGCAACAACACCGGUCAAGGUUCGAAUACUUAGAUCACGGAAUAAAAAAAGGCCCAACGUUAGGGAGGACGUGAACAAUUAUCCCGCCGCCGGCCGUCUCCUUCGUGGCCUGUCACCUCCUCCACGAUCCCGUCGCCGGCCGUGUCCUUCUGGAACAGGAUGAGAGCAGCAGUCCCCUCCUUCCGACGGCAAGGCUCCACACUCGAUCUGCGAGCCGAUGGCAACGCUUCCCACACCACCGUUGCCAUCAGACAAAAGUUCGAUUCCGAUCACCGCAAGCGCCCUCCACCCCACGCAGCCAUCGUGGGAAGAAAAAAAGUACGAAGCGACUUCUGCCGCCGCCUCCUUGCAGGUUUUCCCACUACCGCCUGAUUCGAUCGCUAGCAACGUACGGCGGACGCGGCGGACAAGGCGAGGUCGCUUCAUCUCCGAGCUCCGAGCUAGAAGUUGUCUGCGCGCCCUGCCAUGUCCUCCAACACCGCGCACGCCCUUCCUCCUCCCUUCCAUCCCCGCCGCUUCUUCCAGGGUUGCAGCGGCGGUGGCGACGCCUUGAGCGCUGCUGUGGGCUAGAGCAGGCUGUGGUAUGGAGGUGGACUGAGAUGUGGGCAUGCGACAGUCGUAGCGGGAGCAAGGACGACGGGAGCGCUACAGUGGAGGGGGAGAAGCGAGAAGACGACGCCCAAGCGUUCGAUCAGUUCAGCUUCGUCAUGGACAACCCCUUUUUCUAGCUGCCCGCUGUUUUUGCUGAGGGCGGCAAUGUUAGCGAGAUGCUCUACAUAAUGCCUCAAGCCUCGCUUCGUCUCCUUGUCUGCUUCAUGUUCUGAUUAUAGAGCAGGGAAGAGAGAACCAUAUAUGGGUAGUAUAGUGGUCUGACUUGUUGCAUCCAGAGGAUCGAAGUCAAGGGCUGGGAGUGCAUUUCGUAUAUCAAAUCAAGAGUUUUGAUGGUUUGUCAGGAAACAGGUAUGUAUUGUGCUUUCUUUUCGUGAUGACAAAGGUGAUAUAUAUGCUUAGCUCUCAUCAUAAGAUGAAGCAACACAUUAAGUAAGACAAUGUAGUUCAUUCUUGCCGUUAAUUAUUAAUAAGACUAUGAGGUCUGAAGGAUUUUAGUUUCUGAAUAAGAUAUUGAUCUCUUUGUUAUUUUACAUGGUCUGUUUAAUUUUUUUUGUUUGCUCCCAUGAUGCUUAAUGUGAAUGAUUUUACUUUUUGAACCAAACAGACUCAUUUGAUGGAUAUUAUAGUCUUUUAAAUAAUGCAUAAUUGUGUCAUUCAAAACUUCCGAUUGAGGUGUGUAUAACCACGUACGUCUUAUUGUAGAGGGAUAGUGGGCACAAGGCGAGAUACAUGCCUCCGCAAUCCACAUUAUCUUUGCUGGAGAGGACAUAAAUGGGUAUAGGAGGGCAGGGGCAAUGAACCAUUGCUCGCGCGUGCAAUGGCCAAGAUAUGUGAGGGGACGGCAUGGUGGGAUGCACACAGUUCAUGCUGCAUGAGGCCAUUCAGGCACUUCAUGACAGCUUGCCAUCGACUACAUUGAGCAAAGGGUUGGAGCACUUCGGCAAUCCACACUGUCUUUUUAAUUGUGCAAGUCUGUAUAUAUAUUCAGUUAUUAUAUUCCAGAAGCAUUACCAUUCUGAAAACUUUAGUGCUCUUUGAUUCAGAACAACCUGAAUAUAGUAUGCUUUUGGUUCCAUAUGUUUAGUUAGUGCAAUUGCUUGUUUUCCUGUCAUGCCAAGAAAUAAGAUUAGGUAAUUUCAUGUUCCCUUCCUCCUAUAUUCCUUUUACCGGUAUGUUACCAUAUCAUAUCCAGUUUGAUAUGUGUGGUAAAGUAAAUAGGCAUCAUAAAUUGAUUUCCAAUUUGAUGCAUCCCUGAAAUGCUACCGUGGCGUUAGCACGGGUCCUGUACUAGAAGCGAGAAUACCCUACAUGUAUAACAAAGGUUUCGGAAUUCAAAUAUUGGUAAUCACUUAUAUUAUGUUUCAUCUUUGUUAUCACAAAAAUAGUUAUUUGAUUUGUAUAUAAUAAAUAAACAAUUGUUCUUCUCUAGGAAUUUGGGAGGCUUUCUUGUAUACCAUUUCAUGAAGUUGUGGGACGGCAAAACAUUGCCACCGAUCAACACGGUAAGCAUGCAUAUAUUCUCUACCUAUAUUUCAUAUGAUAGGGAAUUGAUAAAUUGUAAUUAUCUACCAUGCACAGCUAUCAAGUUCACUAAGAACUGAAUUCUUGGUCGACAUUUUGACAAGCCGAGCAAAUGAAUGUUUCAACAGCCUCCCUGAAGAUCUCCAAUACAUGAUUAAGGAGCUAGGCAAAAUGUAACUUAUAUGGUUCAUAACAGAAAUAACUUUACUAUGCCUUAUUAUAUGCAGAAGUGUUCAUGAAAUGUAUACAUGCUCAGAUACAAUUAUGUGUAAAAUUUAAACUAUGAAGAAUAUUGGUUGUUUUUAUAAACAUCUCCAAGAUUAAGCCGUAGCGUUAGCACGGGUAUUAUACUAGUACUAAGGAGUUGGGCUAGGAAAUUAAGAGACCGAGAGAUUAAAUGGUAUUGUCAUUUGCAUGAGGUGGAAGAAUAUUAUGUGACAGGAGAAAGGAGAGAGGAUGACCAUGAAGGAAGGGGCUGCUUCUCCACGUGAAUGCCAAGGAAGAAUAUAUUAAUAGCUACUGCAUGCUUUCAUGCAAUUGAAGAUAAAAAGAACAAUUGGAGUAUUGCAUCUGUUUUUGCAUGAGAGCAGUAAAGUAAUGUGGAGUCUAGCCAUGAUCUACUAUUUAGUUGCUGCUCAAAAAAAAUGGAGAGAUUAAGGGGAGGUGAUCAAAAGAAAUGUGUCAAGGAAAUUUGUGAAUGAGCAUUAUGUGUGACUAUUUUGGUUGACCAGAAAAAUAGGGGCUGUAGCACAAUGAGAGGGAUGUUGUUUUCACAUGAAAGGGCAAGGAAAUUUAAGAUUCAUUUAUAUGAAUGAUUGAGAGACGAUAAAUGAUUGGCCUAAAUACUUUGUGGACACCAAAAUGAUUGAGAGCUCGAGAAAGAAACGGAAGGAAAGAGAAAGAGAAUAGGGCGUGCUAGAUUUCUGUUGGAUGUUAGCAAAAGACUUGAUUGGAGUUUUGACUACCGAUUUGGUAUUUUAGGGAGAUGAAGAUGGGAUCAAACCCUAGGCGUAUUUUGGAAACAAAUAAAUUCAUUUUUCAAGCAUAAACAUUGUGCAACAGCAUGAGUGCAACAAACCACUAAGUUAAAUUGAAAAAACAAUUAGAAACUCACUUUUUUCCCAAUAUCUAAAAUGUUGACAACAUAACUAAAGUUGGAACAUUUUAUAAAAUAAUAAAAUCUUUAGCUUUGUUUUUAGUGUUUUCUAAGUUACAUUCCAAUGUAGGAAUUUUGGGGUGUGACACUGAAUCACCAGCCGCCCUUAGAAAUAAGUUUGUAAGGGCGGCUGGAUCACGAGCCGUCCUUACAAAUCCCACAGUAAGGGCGGCUGGAUCAACAACAGCCCUUACAAAUGCAGCCAUUUGUAAGGGCGCCUCAUGUUACUAGCCGCCCUUACUGUGGUAUUUGUAAGGGCGGCUCGUGAUCAAGAAGCCAGGUGUUGAUGGAAAAUCCACUGUAAGGGCGGUUACAUCACCAGCCACCCUUACAGUGGAAGUGCCCUGGCUCUUACAAACCAAUUCUGUAGUAGUGAUGGGACAAUCGUCUCCUAGUGCUGCUUCCACCACGGGAAGUUCCUAUAUCAUGGCCAUCCUGUUGUGCAGCCCAUGCCUUCCCUCGUGUGAACAGACCCGAAAAUCUCCUUCAUCCACCAACUCCAGGAAUGUUAGGAACUAAUGGGUGGCCCCAUACAAUUUUAAUUCUGGACAUGGCAAAUUUACUCUCGCUUCUGAGUUGCGGAAUUUAAAUUCAAGUGUGUUGUUGGGGCCACCCGAAAUAAUAUUUGCCUUGAUGAAAUGUUCAGUGGUUAGCAUAAUCCUAGGCUCAGUGAUGAAAUCAUUAAAAUUAUUAAGCAGCAAAGCAUUUUGGCAAAACCUUGUGAUUAUGGAGGUGAAGCUAAUUGAGCCUGCAAGGGUUGGUAAUUGAAUCCAAUGUUGCACCAUGAUGGUUGAUCUUGUCUUGAGCUAGGGGCUUCUUUUCUUGCUCAACUUGUGGCUUUGGUCGAGGCUCUUCUUGUUGCUUCACCAAUUGUUGGGUUAGGCACAUUGAGGUGAGAUGACCCCAACUGCGGCACUUGAAGCACUUGACAUGCUUGAGCCUCUCUUCUUCUUUCAUCUUCUUGAGCUUCUCUUUGUUUGGGCAACCAUUAGCAAGAUAUCCCACUUUAUGGCACCGAUAGCACAUGAAAUGAGAAAGCUUCCUCUUUUCUUGCUUUCUUUUGCCCUUUCUCAUCUUCUUAUUGAAGCCAAGGCCACACUUGUCACUAUAGUUUCUUUGAGUCUUCAAUAUGUGCUCAAAGGUGACUUUUGAGUAGUAGCAUCUCUCUAGCUUGUUGCUCAAAUUCUUCACAUUUUGAGCUCAUUAUUCUCCUUCGAAAGGUUAAUCUCACAAGACAUAGAGGUAGAACAAGCAUCUAUAUGUGAAGAAUAGGGCAUAGAUGAUAAAUCAUCACAAGAGGUGGAUACAUGCUUCUUGCCUACAUCACAAGGGUUAGUAACAAUAUGUGAUUGAUCAUUUGACCGAAGUGAUGAGCUCUCACUAGUUUUAAUUUCUUCAUUAGAAAUCUUCUUCGUUAGAAAAGCAUGAUCUUUUACCAAGUUAUCAUGAGUAACACAAAGUUCCGCAUGAACCAAUUUUAGCUCCUCAUGUGAACAAGUAGUAACAUAAAGUAGAUGCUUUUGUUGUUCACAUGUGGUCUUUAGAAACGAGUUUUUAUUUUUCAGUUUACUUGUUUUUGCCAUCUUAUUUCUUAAAGCUUUGGUGAGUCUACAUAGAAGCUCAAAAUUUGGAUCAUCACAAUCAACAAUCACACCUCCAAUAGAUACCUUGUCGUCGUCGUGAGACAUGGAGGAAUGCGAUGAAGUGGAUGAGCUUGUAGAAGCAUCACUCUCAUAGCCAUCAUCUUCAUCCUCACUUGACCAUGAGGUGGAGCAAUCCUCCACGACCACCAUGUUGUGGUCAUGCUCAACAUCCCCACGUGCAUCCACUUUGGCACAUCAUCUUCUUUGUUGAUCGCCCUAUAUUUCUCAUUGAGAUAACUCCAAAUCUCAUGAGCGGACUUCAUAUCCAUGAUCUCACCAAAUAUGUUAUCUUUCAUGGAUGAAUAGAAGAUGUUAGUAGCUUGGUAGUCGAGAUGUAGAAAUUUCUCUUGUGCUUGAGUUAGAUUCUCUUCAUCCAACACAUGAGAAAAGCCUACAUCUACCAUCCACCACAUUUGAGGAGAAAUAAACUUAAAAUUUCAUGUCAUCCAAUUUCUCCACCGUGCAAAGUGUGUGCCAUCAAAAAUGUGUGGACACUCAACAUCUAGCCCAUAAGCCGCCAUCCUCUCGGGUCGGUGAAGACCACAAAUGAGAGACCUAGCUCUGAUACCACUUGAAGGGUCGAGAUGGCAGACUAGAGGAGGGUGAAUAGUCUAUUUAAAAAAUCUACAAACUCACUAGAGCAAGAGGUUAGUAAAUAACAAGGCGAAGCUUUUUACUCUAGCUCUAAUAGGGUGUUUGCUAGCCACCUAUCCAACAAUUCUAGUUGAUAUGAUCACUAGGCACACAAGAACUAUGUCCCUACUUACACCAGAGAGCUACCUAAAGUUUCUAUAUAAGAAAGUAAGCUACUCUAGUUUGUGGGAAUGUAUAAGAGAGGGUUUGAUCUUUAUACCACCACGUAGGGGGGAUGAAUUAAUCACAAUAUAUGAACAAUCAAGCACCGGGAGAAUGCCAAUCAAACUCAAUUGAGACACUGAUUUUUCUCUCGAGGUUCACGUGCUUGCCAGCACGCUACGUCUCUGUUGUGUCGACCAACACUUCGUGGUCCGGCAGUUAAUUGGGAGUCCACACCCAAGCUCACCAUGAGCACCACAAGGACUUACCACAAGUGAGAUAGAUCAAUGACAUGCGCAAUCCACUAAUCGUUUCCUUUGGCUCUCCAUCAGGGUAGGCACAAAUCCCUUACAAACACCGGGAGAUGGCCACGAAUAAUCACCAACUCGUGCCAAUGCUCCUCCACUGCUCCAAGCCACCUAGGUGGCGGCAACCACCAAGAAUAACAAGAAAACCGCAGCCAAAUCGAUCCCCAAGUGCCACUAGAUGCAAUCACUCACUUAGAAUCACUCUCAAUCUCAUAAAGAUGGUUAAUCUAUGAUAGAGAUGAGUGGGAGGUGUUUGCUUAGGCUCACAGGGAUGUCAAGUAUGCUAGAAUGCCAAGAGAGUGAGCCCAAAGCCGGCCAACAACUAUUUAUAAGCCCCUCAAACAAAAAGAGUCAUUGGCCUUUUUACUGGGCUAAACAUGGGACCACCAAACGCGCUGCAGGUAAGUCACCGGAUGCUCUAACAGAGCGUCUAGUGCUCUGAAAACAGCCACGUCCCCUACUUGAAUCUCGUGUGUUGAUCUCUAACGGGCAAAAACGAACCACCGGACGUGGUCAAGUAGAUACUGGACGCGUCUGGUGCACAUCGGUCAUGUACGCAGAGAGGUUUGCAAAAACGCAGGAGCACCGGACGCUCCAUUUGCGUCCGAUGCUCUCAGUCAAACGCACCUACUGAAGUCAAGUCACACCAGACGCACAAACAGGGUCUAGCUCACGUUCGGUGCUUAGCGUCCGGUGCUUUUAGCUAACUUCGCUAGAGACUCACAGCACACCGGACGCGCAGGCUGAGCGUCCAGUGCCUGCGGUCAAAGCGUCCGGUGAGUGUUGAGAAACUUUCUACUGACGCAAAAGAAACUUUCCACCGGCACAAAAGAAACUUUCUACCAGCACAAAAGAAACUUUCUACCAGCACAAAAGAAACUUUCUACCAGCGCAAGGGAAACUUUCUACCUCCGUCUUAAAGUGUGCCAACAUGUUGAUGCAAAAACGUAUCUGCAAACACAAAGGGCUAAUACCCGAAUCAAACGUUGAGGCGUGCCAGCCGAUUUAACCUAGCAAUCGACAAAGGUGAUAACUUGAAUACUUUGCUCCCGACAACAGCGAUGCACCCAAAUGUUACGGCCAAGAGGUACUCAUGCAGAACUCGAGAAUUCACCGAGUAUUGCUCGAUGAAUCCUUAAGAACUCGUAAACAAAAGAAAAUAUGUGAGUUGACGAAGUCAUCGAAAAGUAGAUAUAAAAGUAGAUGUAAAACUUGUGUAUGAUAUAUGAUUGAUUGUCCUUCUUACAUCGCUACUAGGCCUAUAUUUAUACUCUGUCCUAAAGAGUUACAAUCGUAUACGACUAGGAUUUAAUUCCAAACAAAAUAGGACUCGUACAUAAAAUAAACCCUAACAAAUAUGGAAAAUAACUACCUAUCCAUCCUGGUGAUCGGCAUACCACCAUUGUCUUCAUCGGCACACGCCCUGUAUCUCUUCUAACAAUUCUCAUAGCUUUCCUAAUUGGCAUCGACAAUCAUUAGUAAUCGGCAAUGAUCGGCAACUAUGACCAGACUUAGCAACAUCUUCCUCCUGUUGUUUUAUCAUCGGCAUCAUAGGCUAUCGACAAUGUUCUUAUUGGCCAGACACAUCACCUCUCUGACUGCCGAUUCAAGCCUCAUUGACUAUCCCGAUUUGUGUCCAAAAAUGGUGUCAACACAUGCCCCCCAAUUUUGGAGUAUGAAAACAUUAAUGCUCCAAAAUUCUCUCCUGAUAAUGAUGACCUUUUCACAAAUAUUUCCUUCUGGCAACAAUUAAUUACAAAAUCUAAACAACCUUAAUUCGGAUCUCCAGCAAAUACCUCGAAUCUCUCAACCAUGCGAGCCAAAUCUCAUAGAAACAUGCUCAUCGGCAACUGUUCUGUUAGGGUUGAUUGCCGAUGGACCGAUCAUGUACAGUGGAAUAUCUCCUAAAAUCAUGAUUACUUGCUGUCAAAUCACCUAUACAAUCCCUUGAUUAUCGUACGAACAGUUACCAUAUCCAUCUGAACAUCCUCGAAUUUCAUGGAUACGGCAAAGAGAAAAGUCAAAAAUACCCCUACUCACUUCAACCUAUAAAUACCUCCUUCCUCAGCACUCAUUCUCUACCUUGCCAUCCUCCAUUCCCAAGUUCAUCUCCCCGACGGCGGCAUUGACGAAGAACAAGAACUCCAGCAACGAAAGCCUUCUCCAAGAUCUUCAAGUCUUCAACCCUUCUUCUUUUGGGAAGAAAUGGCUGUCAACUUCAUCGUGCCUGAGGUCAAUCCAUUCCCACUCUUUCUUUUCUUUACUGUAAUCGUUUACUUUUGGCAAGUUUAUCUACUUAGCAAUUUCUCCCUAUUUCUUCCUAUUCUUUUGAUUUCCAAACUCUAGGAUUUGAGUGAGAAAAUCAUUAUUCCCACUGAACAACCCCACCUCCAAUGUCUUGGCCCAAUGGUUGAUCCAGAUCCCACCAAUCUGAUCAACGCAGAAACCAAUAGGAUCCCUUUUAGAGCUAAGAACUUCUCUCUAGAUCUAUGGAAGGACACUUUCCGAUCCUGGCCAAAACCCACUAAAGGAUGGAAAGACUGGUUCCUGAGGGUUAGCAAAACAAAUGAAACGUACUGGGGGGAAUACAAAUUAGACCAAUGCAUUAGACUCUCCAUUGCCGAUAUGGAGAAGAAUGAGUCGAUGAUGAUAGCAGCUUCAUAUUUUUGGUUAGACACCUUCAAUGCUUUCAUCUUUGGUCACGGCCCAGUCUCCCCACACUUGCCGAUGUUGUCAUGCUUACUGGCUUAGACAUCGCAACUGCCAAUGACGGUAGUAUUUUCGGCCAUAAAACUGAAUAUAAAGUAGAAAGCCACAACAUCGGCGGCUGGUCAGGAUAUGUCCAGAAAUAUCGGCAAACUGGAUCGGUCGGCCAGAGAGAGCAUGUCAUCUUUCGGAACAUGUGGUAGGGCUAACCUCUGUUUACUUAUCGGCAGCAGAGCGACUAGCUAAUGGUAACCGAUUCCCCCUUGGCUGAUAUCUGCUGGGUUCUGUCUAUCAUCUCCUCCACCAAGUAGCCGAGAAACUCCUGCUAGGUGAACCCAUCGGCAACCUGGGAGGUGUUGAUGCAAAAGCGGAUCUGCAAACACAAAGGGCUAAUACCCAAUUCAACGUUUAGGCGUGCCAGCCAAUUUGACCUUACAAUCGACAAAGAUGGUAACUCGAAUACUUUGGUCCCGAAAACAGCGAUGCGCCCGGAUGUCAUGGCCAAGAGGUAUUCACGCGGAACUCGAGAACUCGCCGAGGUUGACUCGAAGAAUUCCAAAGAACUCGUGGUAAAAGGAAAAUAUGCAAAUUGACGAAGUUGUCGAAAAAGUAGAUGCUGGAAUAGUUGUAAAAACUUGUGUUUGAUUGAUUGUGUCUUACAUCGCUACCCUGCCCAAAAGGGUUACAAUCAGACACGACUAGGACUCGAAUUCCAAAUUAAACAGAAUUCGUAUACAAAACAAACUCUAAUAAUUAUGGAAAGCAUAAAUUAUCUUCCACAACCGAUCGGUACACCACCAUGAAUCGAUUGACAACUCCUGCGCUCUCAUUCAUGACCAUCGGCAAAUCAUCUCCCAUAGCCAUCGGCAGCCACCUUCACCAGUCAUCGGCACGAAUCCAUCACCACUCCUGGACUUGGCCAUACCUUGUCUUUUUCUCAUCGGCAUCAACCCUCAUCAGCAACUCUUCUGCAGACUAGUCACCACAUCUCUGCCUGCCGAUCUACACCUCAUUAACUCCAAAUACACGUCCAAAGAUACAUGUCCAAAAACGGUGUCAACACAUGCCCCCCAAUUUUGGAGAAUAAAAUCAUUAAUACUCCGAAAUUCUCUCCAAUAAUGUUGCCUUUCCGCAAUUACUCCUUCCCAUCAGUAACUAAUCACCAGAUCCAAACAACCUCAGCCCGGUCUUCCAGCACGUACCUCGAAUCCCCAACUAUUUGAACCGAAUCCCCUUAAUAUACGUUCAUCGGCAACAUUUUCGCUAGAGAAGACUGCCGAUGAACCGACCAGGAGAUCUUGCACAGUAAGAUAUCUCCAAAAUCAUGUCCGCUUGCUGUCAAAUCACCUACACAAUCCCUUGAUUACCGUGCGAACAUUUACCAUAUCCACCUGAACACCCUCGGAUUUCACGGAUACGGCGAAGAGAUAAGUCAGAUUUACCCCUACCCCUUUUUGUCCAAUAAAUACUUCCUUCUUCGGUACCCUUCCUCCAUCUUGUCAUUCUACAGCCUCAAACCCACCUUUCUGGCGGCGGCACUGUUCGAGAACUUCAAGAACUCCAGCAAGGAUCUCCUCCAACAAUCUUUCGAGUCUUCGAUUCUUCCCUCCUCUCGGGAAGAAAUGGCCAUCAACUUCGUCGUCCCUGAGGUCAACUCAAUACCCCCUUUCUUCUUUUUCUUGUUGUACUUCUAUAUCUCUGCAAUUAUAUUUACUGAGUACAUUUUUCCUCUUCUUUGUUUCUUCCCCAUUCUUUCAACCUCCAAACCUUUUAGGAAUUGGCUGAGAAAAUGGUGAUUCCUACCGAUCACACCACUUUCAAUGCCUUGGUCCAUUGGGGAACCCAGAUCCCAUCGAUUUGAUAAACGUAGAAACAAAUAGGAUCCCCUUUAGAGCCCAGAAUUUUUCAUUAGAUCUAUGGAAAGAUACCUUUCGAUCCUGGCCCAGUUCUACUAAAGGGUGGAAAGAUUGGUUCCUACGAAUCGGUAACUCGAAUGAAGUUCAAUGGGGUGAGCGCAGACUAGAUCAAUGCAUUAGGCUAUCCAUUGCCGAUAUGGAGAGGAAUGAAUCACUAUUGAUAGCUGCUUCAUACUUCUGGUUUGAUACCCUCAAUGCCUUUGUAUUUGGUCAUGGCCCUGCUUUCCCUACCCUUGCCGAUAUGCUAAUGCUCACCAGUUUAGACAUAUCAACUGCCGAUGACAAUCAUUUAUAUGAUCGCAAGCCUGAGCGCAAAGUAGAAACCUGCAACAUCGGCGGUUGGUCAGGAUACAUUCAGAAGUACCGGAAAACAGGACCAGUCGGUCAAAGGGAGCAUGCUGUCUUCAUGAAUAUGUGGCUGGACAAGUUCGUUUUAUGUGGUCGAUAGGUAGGACCAACUUCUGUCUACCUAUUGACAGCAGAAAGACUGGCCGAUGGCGACCGAUUUCCUCUCGGCCGAUAUUUGCUUGGCUCUGCCUAUCACCUUCUCCAUCAAGUAACUGAGAAACUCCUGCUAGGCCAACCCAUCGGCAACUUGGGAGGUCCUUGGUGGUUCAUCAACAUGUGGCUUAGUGUCCACAUGCACAAACGCCUUGGAUUUGACCUCUUCGCACAGCGCUUUCCAAGAGAUAUAGCCGAAGAUCAAGAAUUGGCUGAUGACGAAUCGGCAACUCGCUCACCCUUGAAUUACGAUGAAGCAACUAUAGUCUUACCUGGUACUGGUGGUAAUGAAGACAAGGUCAGCCGAUUCUUCCAAACUCUUUAUGAGGGCCUCGCCAAAGAUCAGCGGUCAUGGAUGCCUUACGAAGACCCAGAAACCAGAUUCCCACUGAUCUUUCAUCCCUUCGAUGAUGCCCUUAAUAAAGAUGCCGAUUUGAUGAUGGCGAUCAUCACACCAAGGGCUAUUCCAGUGAACACCUUCGGCAGCGGAAAGAACUCCAACCCCACCUAUGAAUUCUACAACCCAUCGAAACUGGCUCGUCAACUGGCUUUUGGGCAGUUGCUAAUUGGGCUCUAUUAUGCCGAUGUAGUGAAGCCAAGGGAAACCACAACCAGCGGACUUGAGUGGAUAAGAAUAGCUCAGCUUCAGCCGAAUGCCGAUACAUCAGACAUCGAUUUAUCAGCAUGGAUCCCAGCUCUUUUCAUCACUCAGGCAUACAAAUAAUGGUGGGAAGAGUGGAAAGAACAUCUGUUCUGCACAUCGGCUCUGACAUACCGCGACAUGAUCGACCCCAAGUACAAGGUCUCUGAUAACAUUGUAAGUCUUCAACCGAUACCUUAGCUCUUUUGUUGCUUUUAUUCUCAUCGGUAACUCACUUCUUCUUUUCUGAACAGAUUGACAACCCACCACCAACAGUCAGUAGGAGUGGAAAGCCGAUCGAACUCCUUCCAUCAGGCCCGAUUUCUCUGAUCGGCAACAACACACCAAGCCUGGCAGCUCUAAUGCACCGGAAUGUGUGUUUUAAGAAGAUAACCACCAGGCGGUCAAAGACAUCUCCAACAGUCGCCGCUGCCACCUUGGCACAAGCUUUCAAGGUAAAUCUCUGAUUUCCUCAAUUUAUACCGAUUCCAUUCUAUACUUACACAAUCUCUUCAGGAUACAUCGGCUGCUAUGGGAACUUCAUCGGUAACUUUUAUCCUUUAACAAGAUUUUCAUCUAUAUUCUUUCAUAUGUGGACUCAUGAAAUCUUGCUUAUUGCAACAGCAAACUACCAAAUCGGCAAAAACCAAAAGUACCAAAACAAGUGUCGAUGCCCCCCUAGUCCAGUCAAGUCAAGAGAAAAGGCCCCAAGAGCACUAAGUCACAGCCAAAAUGCCAGAAGACAGCACCGCCUUCUCCUCCUCAUCCAGUGUUGCCGAUUCACAUGGAAUUGUCCCCCUCUUCACCAGAAAUCCAGACACAGCAAGCACCAUCUCCACCUCAAUCAGCACCUUAGCCACAAGAAACGCUAGCCGAUGUGCUUGAGCAGACUGCCGAUCCAGUGGAUCCAAUCAUAUCAUCGGUAGUCUCUUCAGAACAGACAAGCACUGCACCCCCUCAAGGUAAAGUACUGUCCAUAAAAUUAUCACUGAUGGAUUUAUUUUUUCAAAUUAUAAUCAUCCUUAUUAUAUUUCAGUUGAUAUUGUUCCAUCGGCAACUCCAGCCGAUCAACCCGUGGUACCAUCGGCAUCAACCAACCAGAGGUGAGAAAUAGCUCUGAAGCAAGUAAGUUAUCGGAUUUCCAUCCUUUAUAUCACUAAUAUCUGAUCAUCAAAUAACUUAUCUUAUUUUGUUCAGGAACAAGACUCCCCAGACAGCUUAUUUUCCUUCGCCAUUGAUAUUUCCGAUGACGACGGUGAGGAAGCGAGCUCCUCCAAAGCAAUUGGGAUCUCAUUGGCAGAAACCAGAGCCAACUGGAGGACCUGUUGGCCUUGUUACACCAAGAUACUGCUCACUUGGUUGAUGAUUCUGAUCUGGCCAAAGCCAUAUUCAAGACUCUUCGCGGCCAAAUUCCAGUCGAUGCUGAAGAGAUCCUUUUUCAAGCUACACACUUGGAGAGCCGUCAGCUCCAGUACCAAAAGGCUACUCAGCGCCUUGCCGAUAGAGCUACCCAUGCCCAGCUUUUAGAGGAGGUAAUGCAAGUGAAGCGUCUUGCCGAUGAGAGACACAAGAGCAUCGGCAUCCUGCAAUCCUCAGGGGAAACACUGAAACAGAAGAUCUCCGACCUAUCGGCAAGAAGGGAAGUCCUGCUAGCUGAGCUCAAGCAAGUGGAAGAGGCUCUAUCUCAAGCUCAGCAAGAAGAAAGCCAGCUGCCUGAGAUGAUCAAGACUCUUCAGCAGGAAUGAAACAUCCAGGCUCGCAAGGCGCUACAGAUGAAGAAGAAGCUGAAGCCAGUGGAAGGUUCUACCGAUGAAGACAUCUGGGAGAUAGAAGAAGCCGAUCAAAUCCGUCUGCGCGCCAUAUCGGCCAUCCAAGCCUUGCUGAAUGCAUGAGUUCUUCAUCGGCGACUUAUUUUGUUCCGUCCUUAGAAUACAUCUGAUCAUUCCAGUCUAGCCGAUAGGACUGUUAUCGGCACUUUUGAAAACAUUAUGCAAAAUCCCAGAUACAUUUCAUCCAGCCGAUAGGAGUGUUAUCGGCACUUAAAUUCUUACGCAUCAACCCAAAUGCUUGGAUAAUACUUCUUUAAAUAUUUUCCAUUUAAUGCUCUAGGAAAUUCAACUCCUUCGAGAGUUUCCAAAAUAUAAGCAUUACCAGGAACAGAGCGAUUUAUCCGAUAAGGACCUUCCCAAUUAGGAAACCAUUUUCCAAACUUUGAACAUUUAGUCCCAAUCGGUAAAAUUAAUUUCCAUACCAAAUCUCCAUCGGCAAACUCCUUAGCUUUUACCUUUUUAUCAUACCACCUAGCAACUCUCUUUUUAUUUUCUUCUAUACUCAUCAAAGCUCUCAGCUGAUGCUCUGCCAAAUCGUCCAAUUCAUCUUUCAUCAAAGUAGCAUAGUCAUCGGCAGCCAAUUGAUCUUGAAAAGAGACCCACCUAGAUCCAGUUUUAAUUUCCCAUGGUAGCACCGCAUCGUGUCUAUAUAUUAACUGAUAAGGUGAAACUUUAGUCGAUCCAUGACAUGCCAUUUGAUAUGACCACAAAGCUUCAUUCAACAAUGUAUGCCACCUUCUAGGAUUUUCUUCAAUCUUUCGCUUAAUGAGCUUAAUAAUUCCUUUGUUAGAUGCUUCGGCUUGUCCAUUAGCUUGAGCAUAAUAAGGAGAAGAAUUCAACACUUUAAUCCUCAUACCGAUCGCAAAUUCAUCAAACUCUCCCGAUGUGAACAUAGUGCCUUGAUCGGUAGUAAUUGUUUGAGGAAUACCAAAUUGGUAAACAAUAUGCUCUUUCACAAAAUCAAUCAUGUUAGCCGAUGUUACUUUCUUCAAAGGAAUAGCUUCAACCCACUAAGUAAAAUAAUCAGUGGCAACUAAGAUGAACUUGUGCCCCUUGCUUGAUGGCGGAUAAAUCUGACCGAUUAGAUCAAUAGCCCAUCCCCGGAACGGCCAAGGCUUAAUAAUGGGAUUCAUGGCCGAUGCGGGUGCCCUUUGAAUAUUACCGAACCUCUGACAUCCUUGACAUCCUUUGAAAUAUUUAAUGCAAUCCUCAAGUAUAGUCUGCCAAUAAUACCCGUUUCUCCUAAUCAUCCACUUCAUCUUAAAAGCCGACUGAUGUGCUCCACAUACUCCAUGGAUUUCACCCAUCAAGCUUUUAGCCUCAUCAUCACCCAAGCGUUGGAGCAAAACUCCAUCUAUUGUUCGAUAAUAUAAUUCUUCUCCAAGAAGCACAUACUUGGUAGCUUGAAACCUGAUACGCCUUUCAACCUUUUUGGAUGGAUCCUUUAAGUAAUCAAUGAUUUCCUUUCUCCAAUCAUUGGCACUGACUGCCGAUAACAUAUUUAAGAUAGGCUAAUAUCCCGAGGCAUGUUGAGCCAACCGAUUAGCCUCUUCAUUAUGUAAUCGAGGAACAUGCUCCAACCGGAAAUCCUUCAAUUCCCUUAACAGUUGCAUCCUCUUUUCAUAAUAAGUUAUCAAACUUCACUUCGGCAUUCAUAAAUUCCAGCCAAUUGAUUUAUAACAAGCAUAGAAUCACCGAAGAUCUCAACAGCAUCUGCAUGAACCUUUUUUAAUAAUUCCAACCCUUUGAUCAGAGCUUGGUAUUCAGCCUGAUUAUUCGUUGACGUGGCACAAUCGGCAAAGAGAACUCAUACUUUUUUCCUCGAGGAGAAAGUAGUACUAUACCGAUUCCUGCCCCCCCCGGUCACACGUGGAUCCAUCAAAGAAAAGUGUCCAAGGAACAAUCUCCAAAGUAACUACUACACCACAAUGUUGAGUCACAAAAUCAAUCAUAAUCUGCCCCUUAACUGCCUUAGCCGAUUCAUAACGCAGAUCAAAUUCCGACAGCGCCAAAAUCCAUUUACCGAUUCUAUCACUCAUAAUCGGCAUAUAUAGCAUGUACCGGACUACAUCAUUUUUGCAUAUAACCGUGCAUUUGGCUGAUAGCAAAUAGUGCCUCAACUUAAUACAUGAAAAGUAUAAGCAUAAACAUAACUUUUCAAUUGCCGAAUACCUUGUCUCAGCAUCAACCAACAUCCUAUUUAGAUAGUAAAUCACACGUUCUUUCCCUUCAAAUUCUUGAAUCAGAGCCGAACCAAUGACCAUCCCAUCAGUAGACAAAUACAAUUUGAAAGGCUGUCCUUGCUGAGGUGGAAUUAGAACUGGAGGAUUUGUCAGAUAAUUCUUGAUUUCGUCCAAUGCCGAUUGUUGCUCUCUUCCCCACACAAACUCUUGAUCGGCUUUUAACUUAAGUAAAAGACUAAAAGCACAAAUCUUACAAGACAAGUUAGAUAUAAAUCGCCUGAUAAAAUUUAUCUUACAGAUCAGAGAUUGGAGUUCAAUUUUGUUGGUGGGAGCAACUAUUUUGUUGAUAGCAUCAAUAGAUCUCCUACUAAUUUCAAUUCCUCUCUGAUGCACCAUGAAACUAAGAAAUUGCCCUGCCGAUACACCAAAUGCACAUUUAUUAGGAUUCAUUUUCAAACCAUGUUUCCUUGUGCACUCCAACACCUUUCGUAGAUCGGCAAGAUGCUUUGUGAAAUCCCCACACUUAACCACCACAUCAUCAAUGUGAAUUUUCGCCAGCUUGCCGAUGAACUCAUGAAAGAUAAAAUUCAUAGCCCUCUGAUAGGUAGCACCAGCAUUUUCAAGCCAAAGGUCAUGACUAUCCACUCAAACAACCCAACAUGACCAGGAUAUCUAAAUGCGGUCUUUGGAAUAUCUUCUUUGGCCAUGAAUAUUUGAUUAUACCCUACGUUGCCAUCCAUGAAGCUAAUAAUCCGAUGUCCAGCUGCAGCAUCAACUAGCAAAUCGGCAACUGGCAUUGGAUAACCAUCCAUCGGUGUAGCCUUGUUAAGAUUCCUGAAAUCAAUGCAGACACGAAGCUUCCCAUUCUUAUUGUAAACUGGAACAACAUUGGAAAUCCACUCGGCAUACCGACAUUGCCGAAUAAAUUUAGCUUCGAUAAGUUUGAUUAUUUUGGCCUUAAUAUCAGGAAGAAUAUUAGGAUUGCAUCGGCGAGCUGGCUGCUGAUGCGGCCGAAAUACUGAUUUGAUAGGUAACCAAUGUUCAACAAUAGAUCCGUCUAAACCAGGCAUCUCGGUAUAAUCCCAAGCAAAACAAUCUUUAUAUUCUUUUAACAAAUAAGUUAACUGCUACUUACACUCAGAAUCUAACUUAGCACUAAUAAAAGUAGGCCUUGGCCUAUCACCACUACCUAUAUCUAUUUCUACUAGAUCAUCAGCCGAUGUAAACCCCUGGCCCAAUUUUCCAUCAUCGGCGAACCUAUCUAUUAAAACUCUUCGUCAGAACCGACUGCUUGGAUCGGUGGAAUUUCAUAACAGCAACUUUGAGAAAAAUCCUUUUCCUAAAUCUCCCCUGAAAUGCAUCUGGUCCUUUAUCUGCCUCUGUCGAUGCGAUGACAUAUGAAGAAUCUCCUGGAACAAUCUCAAUCUUGUCACCUACCCACUGAACUAAACAUGGUGCAUCGUAGAUGGGAUGCAACAAUUGGCAUGGAUCCAAUCUCUCCCUAGUAGUAGAUUAUAAGCACCCUUUCCACUGAUGAUGAAGAAAGUUGUCGGCAAAGUUUUGCUGUCGAUGGUCAACUCAACACAUAUGGCUCCCUUGACUGGAGACACAUUGCCUUCAAAAUCUUUUAGCAUCAUAUCUGUCUUGGUCAAAUCUUGAUCUCCUUUGCCAAGCUUCCGAUAGACUGCAUAUGGCAUAAUAUUGAUAGCAGCUCCAUCAUCAACAAGUAUCUUGGUCAUCGGCUGCCCAUCAACUCUGCCUUUGACAAACAGAGCUUUAAGAUGUUGUCUCUCAUUAUCAGCAGGCUUUUCAAAGAUAGCCGUCAUCGGAUCUGUUGACGGACCUUAAUGCUCACAUUUAACCGUCAACUAAUCAUGGAAAACGAUCCAAAUGCAACCAACACCUAGACUUAGGGUUUUAUCUGACAGAAUUCCACGAGUUUUGGUGUUUGUCUAUUUCUGCAGGGGGUUAUCAGGAAAUAUGGAAGAAAGGCCCACAUGUCGGGAUUACAUAGAGAUAUUAAUGCACCACGCAAUUUUCUACCAUCUAGAAGACUCCAGAAGCCACGGGAACGAACGGGAAGGCAAUCGGGCUCGGAGGCAGGGCGCCCGCCCUGGAGUUGUAACCAAACACGUCCAAUCUCACGGAUUACGUUCCACCGACCUAAAGGAUCAAGCAAAACUGUGCGAUUAAUGUCAGUUUGAUCUGACGGCCCAGAUUCAUCUGAAAAGACUAUAUAAGCAAGGCCCCCUGGCCCUGGAGAGCAUACCUCUUCUACAGAAUCAAAGCUAGGGUUUCAAUUCUUCAUCCAAGUUGAGAGGAUCCCUCUAGUUCUUCUAGUUCUACCUCUAGUUCAUCUAGUUCUACUUCUAGUUCAUCUAGUUCUAGUUCGAGUUCCUCUAGUUCUAGUUCUAGUUAGUUCUAGUUGUAAUCUAGAAAAUAGGGAGAGAGAACAGGAGAGCAGAGGAGGAGGAGCCGAAUCUGUCGGAUCUUCCUCAACAUUGUACUUUUGCAGCAACUGGUUCGUUCUUCAUCGUUCUCCAGGUUCUUCAAUUCAUAAUUCUUGAGUUCUUUAAUUACUUCUAUUUACAUUCAAGUUAUUUUUUGGAUUCCCACUUGCAUCAAGUGCUCUAAUCUUUGCAACAUUAGAGUAGUAAUUAAUAGACUAGACGUGGUGUUUAGUCUUGCAAUUACAUAGAAUUGCACCCAAUCCUGCGGAUUGUUGUGGUAGCCUUAGGGUAGUGACAGCCCUAAUGGUCGACGUAUUCCACCUCGUUCGGAUCGGUGUUUGUAGGACCGUAGUCAGACCUUCCUAGCCCCCUUCUCAUCUCUUUCUGUGGUUACUGCUCUAAUGUCCCGAUAUAAAUAAUCUUUGAAGUAAUUAUUGACUCUUAGAUCAACUAGAGAACUCUCAGGAAACUUCCUCUCUUCCCACCAAAAAUAAUUAUAUAGUUAUCCUUGGGCGAUCUUGAUUCUUAAUUAGUACACUCACGUUCCCUAUGGAAAAUCGAUACUCUGGAAUACUCCCGGGUGAAAGCUACAUCGGUAUCCGUGCGCUUGCGAAUUUUUCUGUUUGCGUUUAAAAUACCCAACAAGCUUUAUGGCGCCGUUGCCGGGGAACGGUAGCUGUGCUAGUUUCGAACCAAGUCGUCCGUGUAUCCUUUUUCUUUUCCUUUUUUACCACACUCACCUUACCAUUUUCACCAUACCACAUGGAUUUCACUCCUAUCUAUAAAUUCUUUGCUCCAAAGGGCGAGUUAUUAGAGCCACCACCAUCAUCACAUCCAAUUCUUACAGAUGGCUACGACCUCGGCCCUGAUCUAAUAACCAUGAUUCAGGAGCAACCCUUCUCUGGGCAAGUAGAUGAAGAUCCAUACACCCACCUUAGAGAAUUCGAGCAGUUGUGCUCUUGCCGAUCUAUUUCCGGCAUGACACAAGAGACCCUUAAAUGGAAAUUAUUUCUGUUCUCCCUUUUGGGAAGAGCAAAAAAGUGGUAUGCUCAUUCUGUAGGAGGCGUUAAUGGAAAUUGGGAUGAACUUCGGGACAACUUUUGUCUCGCUUUCUUCCCACUUUUUCGAAUCGCUGACCUUAGAAUCGAAAUUCUUACAUUCAAACAAAGAGAGAAGGAAACUUUUUGAGCAGCUUGGGCUAGGUUCACAAGCCUUACCAAUUCUGGUCCAAACCUUGCCCUGCCUAACCAUGUAUUGUACUACCACUUUUAUCGUGGUCUAAAUAAGGAAGCUGCUCUUCACCUCGACAUUGCUUCAGGAGGCUCAUUCACACACAAACUCACAGAUGAGGGGAGAGCUAUCCUAGAGAGAAUCCUCGAAAAUACCCCUUACACAGGCAUUUAUGAUGAGUUUCCUGAAGAAGAAAAAGAAGUCGAGCCUAAUCCUAAACCAAAAGAAGAGGAACUUGCAACCGAGUUAGAAAUUCCACCUGACCCAUCUAUUAAUUUGGUUAUAGAGAAACCUCCUGAUAAGGGAAUGCAAAACCAACUAAGGGAUGAUGAACCACCACCUUUAGAGCAUCCCUUUGAAUUUGAGGAAGAUCUUUUUGAAGAUUAUGGAAACACCUCGAAUUUUCCUAUCCAAACACGACCUCUAGCAAGGACCACUCAAUCCAUUCUAAGAGGAGAAUCUGUUGACAUAGAACACAUCAAGAGCCUUUCGGCUAUUCUGAGUUAUGAAUGGCUAAUAGAAGCAGAGCUGUCUCCUGAGGUAGCUCGAAUCAUCACUCCUUCAACCAUUCUUCUGUGCCAAAUUAGAAGGUCCGCUAGGAAGGUCCACUACAAUCCGUAUGUUGGGAUAAAUGUUAUUUCUAAGGAGUUAGCUGACACUCUUUAUCCCAAUGAGUCCAUAACCCCAUCUCAAAAACUUUUACAAAGUCCAUCUAGAUUAAUUCUAGAAAGCCAUGGGGUAUUAAGGGCAGUUCCUGUUAGAAUCAAGGACUCUAGAAUAUGUCUAGAUUUUCUCAUUUUUGACAUACCGGAGAUUCCUCUCUUGAUUGGCAGACCAAUCAUGAAACUUCUACAAGAACAACCACAACGAGGUCAUUUAGACUUCAAGGUUGGGAAUUCCACUAUUGUUGUUCCUCUUGCUAGAUCAAUUAACAUGAUAGUGGAACCCAAACUUGAACCAGAUCCUAUUGAGGAGAUCUUAAUGCUGACUCAAGAGGAGAUGGCCUAACCAUUCUUUAAUCAUGAACACUUUGUUCAAGAAGAAGAAGAGUUGGUAGAACCCGUUGAGCUAGACAAAAAUGAACAACCUUCACCUCAUUCGAUAGAAUUAAAACCUCUUCCUUCUGGCCUUAGAUAUGUCUUUUUGCACAACAACCCAAAAACUCCAGUAAUUAUCAGUGACAAGCUUUCUGAUUAUGAAACACAACAACUUGUCACUGUUCUUGAAAGGCAUAGAUCAGCAUUUGGCUACUCUCUCGAAGAUCUCACGGGCAUUAGUCCCAUUCUCUGCACUCAUCGUAUCCCUAUUGAUCCCAAUUUUACACGUUCAAGGGAACCACAACGGAGACUUAACAAUGCUAUGCGAGAGGUUGUUAAGAAAGAGGUCCUCAAACUCUAUAAUGCUGGGAUUAUUUAUCCUGUGCCACAUAGUGAGUGGGUUAGCCCUGUCCAAGUAGUGCCAAAGAAAGGAGGAAUGACGGUCGUUAGGAAUGAGAAGAAUGAACUCAUCCCUCAACGAAUUGUCACUGGGUGGCGUAUGUGUGUUGACUAUCGAAAACUCAACAAGGCUACAAAGAAAGACCACUUUUCGUUACCCUUCAUUGAUGAAAUGUUGGAACGGCUUGCAAACCACUCUUUCUUUUGUUUCCUUGAUGGUUAUUCUGGAUAUCACCAAAUCCCAAUCCACCUAGAUGACCAAGAAAAGACUACCUUUACAUGCCCGUAUGGAACUUAUGCAUAUCGACGAAUGUCGUUCGGAUUGUGCAAUCCUCCAGCUUCUUUCCAACGGUGCAUGAUGUCUAUUUUCUCGGACAUGAUUGAGAAGAUCAUGGAGGUUUUCAUGGACGAUUUUACCGUCUAUGGCAAAACCUUCAAUCAUUGUUUAGAGAAUUUAGAUAAAGUCUUGCAGCGAUGUGAAGAAAAGCACUUAACCCUGAACUAGGAGAAAUGCCAUUUUAUGGUUCAGGAAGGAAUAGUGCUAGGACAUAAAGUGUUCGAACGUGGUAUAGAGGUGGACAAAGCAAAGAUUGAAGUUAUUGAAAAACUUCCACCUCCCACGAUUGUGAAAGGAAUCCGUAGCUUUUUGGGACAUGCAGAGUUCUAUAGACGCUUUAUCAAGAACUUCUCUCAAAUUGCUAGACCCCUAACUAGUCCCCUAGCUAAGGAUGCACCUUUCAACUUUAGUGAUGAGUGUCAUGAAUCUUUUCAAACUCUUAAGAAAGCACUCAUCUCAGCCCCGAUUAUCCAACCACCUGAUUGGAAUCUUCCUUUUGAGAUCAUGUGUGAUGCUAGUGAUUUUGCAGUUGGUGCCGUCUUAGGACAAACCAAGGAUAAAAAGCAUUAUGCCAUAUCCUAUGCUAGCAAAACCUUGUCUGGACUACAACUGAAUUACACUACAACUGAAUUACACUACAACUGAAAAAGAGCUUUUGGCUGUUGUCUUUGCUAUAGACAAGUUUAGAUCUUACUUAGUGGGGAUAAUCAUCUAUUCAGACCAUGUUGCUCUCAAGUACCUCAUCACUAAGAAAGAUGCUAAGCCCCGUCUAAUUCGAUGGAUUCUUCUACUCCAAGACUUUGACAUAGAAAUCCGAGAUAGGAAGGGAGUUGAGAAUUCUAUAGCCGACCACUUGUCUAGGCUUCAAUAUAAGGAAACACAUGAUGAGCUUCCCAUAAAUGACUACCUAAGGGAUGACACCCUGCUUAAGAUAACACAUGCAGAUCCAUGGUACGCAGACAUCGUAAACUUUAUAGUAAAAGGCUAUGUCCCACCUGGUGCAAACAAAAGGAAGUUGCUUCACGAUAGUCGUUUCCACCUUUGGGAUGAGCCAUAUCUUUUCCGAGUCUGCGCUGAUGGACUCUUGACAAGGUGUGUUCCUAUGGCUGAGGCUACUCAAAUUAUGGAAAGAUGCCAUGCCUCGCCAUAUGGAGGACACUAUGGAGCCUUCCGGACUCAUGCUAAAAUUUGGCAAAGUGGUUUUUUCUGGCCAACAAUGUAUGAAGAUACAAAGGACUUUGUCAGGCGAUGCCACCGAUGUCAAAAACAUGGGAAUAUCAACUCACGAAAUGAAAUGCCUCUCACAAAUAAUCUUCAAGUAGAACUUUUCGAUGUAUGGGGCCUUGAUUUCAUGGGGCAAUUCCCUAUGUCUGGGAAUUGUGAAUAUAUCUUAGUAGUUGUGGACUACGUGUCCAAAUGGGUAGAAGCCCUACCUUGUCGAUCAGCUGAUUCAAAGCAUGCCAAGAGAAUGUUCCAUGAAGUAAUCUUUCCUCGCUUUGGUAUACCCCGGAUAGUUAUAAGCGAUGGAGGUUCCCACUUCAUCGACAAAAUCUUUCGGAAGUACCUAGCCGAUCAUGGAGUUCGACACAACGUCGCAACACCAUACCAUCCUCAGACUAGCGGUCAAGCCGAAACAUCUAACAAACAAAUAAAAAAUAUUUUACAAAAGACCGUAGAUGAGAUGGGUAAGGGGUGGAAGGACAAUCUUCCUGAUGCACUUUGGGCAUAUAGAACUGUCGAGGGUAUCGGUUAGGGGUACCCUCAGUAAGGCACAUUAUGAGAUUGCCCGUACGAAGGUCGAGACCCUUAAUUCGACGCUCUCAUCUUACGUACGUGCCGCCAUCGACAGUCGCAGCCUCGAAGACGGAAAUAGUCUCGAGCGAAUCGGUUCAGGACUCGAACGACGACUGCCCUCGAUGACGGAAGCGGGCUCGAGCGAACUGAGAGGUGCCAGGCGUGAGGACACUGUCCGCCGCCCGACGCGCGCACGCGAGCCGAAGCAUUAAAUGCACCUGACGCUUCCCCACCUAACACAUAGGCCACGGAAGGCGUGAUAGGGAGCAAGCUUCUGUCCCAUCGUUCCUUUUGCAGCCUUCCCACCGAACGACCCAGGGCGAGUCAGGACACAGGAAACAAGGAUGGAACGUCUAAUCGGGACCCCCUCGAGACACCCAAGGUCAGCGCUCCAGAUAUCGGCAUAUUACGCGGCGCCCGACCCUCGACCGAACAAGGUCCCUUCCCAGGGACAAGUCGGGCGUCGACUGACAACGCCACAGCUACUCCGCCGGAUCCGCCACCAUACCAUACGAGCGUGCGACCUCAGAACCAGCACAAGGCGGCUGGCAGGGCAGCACGAGGGAGCACGCGUAAUCAUCACCAAGCUAUCAAGAUGGGACGGCUCGAGGCCAUGCCGUACGGAAGCCUCGAGUAGGUCAGCGCUCCAUGCGGCUAUCGAUCCCUACUCUAACAUCUAUGCAUGUACCCUGUGUCUCUCCUUGGAGCUAUAAAAGGAGGGACUCAGGAAUAGAAGAGGGGGACAUCACAACGCAAAAACACACACACACACGUAGUAGAGCUACACAUUUCAUUCCACGCUUGUAUUCGCCCCUGUACAAGCACUUAGGUGCAAGAUAAUACAAACUCUCUCCCCCCGCUGGACGUAGGGCCUUCUCUUGCCCGAACCAGGAUAAAUCUCUGUGUCUUCUUGCAUCACCAUCCGGAAAGGGGAGCACGCAUACAAAUUUACUCGUUGGUGUGACCCCCCCCGGGGAAAAAACACCGACAGUUGGCGCGCCAGGUAGGGGUCCUGCGUGUUUUUCACCGAUUUCCCACCACUUUCCGGAUGGCUACUCCCGCCUCGCCGCUUCCGCACUCCACGGUGAUUUGGUUUGGGAGUCUCGAGUUCAUGUCUACGGGCUUCGGCUACGACAUGAUCUUGCUCUCGGUCAAAGGACCAGGAGGAGUCCGCGUUACGCCAGCACGGUUGAAGGCUCCAAGACGCCCUCACCACCACGCCUCCCCGCCUAAGAAGAGGCGCGGGCAGCACCACCGCGGCCCCCUUGCUUCGGCACGACCAACAACUCGUGCAAGGCAGGAUGCGGGCCCCGGGUCGGCAACACCGUCUGACCGAGCAACAAGCGCGACGACUCAGCACCACGCGACGACGGAGGGAGACGCGUCUCGCGCACCCUCCCCCACCGCAGCUAGGCAACCUCCACGCGGGUUGUUCUCUCCAAGGGCGGCACUGCCGUUCGGAUUGGACAACGCCGCGGCAUCGCUCGCCAAGACGAUAUGCCCAAACGCUCAGACAUACGUGGAAAGACCAAUGGUCAUCCCACGUAGUUCCGAAGAGCGGCGGCCGACGUCCGAACUGCCGGACCUUUCCCGAGUACGGGGCCUCCGCCGUCUAGGCCCCGGACGAUACUCGAUCACCUCCCUCAGGCAACGAUGGCUGGAGGAAGGACGUGAAUGUUUCCACGCUGCCGAGCCAGACUCCGACUCCGAGACAGACAGCUAUGACCCUACGAGGGAAUGCUAUCACCUCGACGGGGCGGCAGAAACCACCGACGAGACACGGGAUGCUGUUGCGGGUGGACGAGCCCUCGCGGCGCAAGAAGACCCCAGGACGCCUGGGAACGACGGACGGUUCGACCCUCUUCCCCAGGAAGAUAGAACUGCGCAGCUCGCGCAGCUGCGGGAGCUCAAGAUGAAGCUCGACGAAGAUCGCGAGCGCCUCGUCCUGCUCGAGCAAAUCCUCGAACAAGACCUGCCCUACCCGCCAGGCGGAAGUGUCCGCAGACGCGCUCGAGAGGUACAUCGACAGAUCGUCGGUGACCCGGAGGCGGAGCAACCUGUCGGCCGUUUCCCUCGAGCAGGCCAGAAUGUAGUGGCAGCGACGAUGCUGCUGCGUAACAUGCCAGAACCAUCGAAUUCCCAGGCCCGACGAAUUCGAGAUGAAGUUCAGACGUUGCUCCAGGUGGCAGCAGUUCAACAAGCCGAAAGUUCGGCAUCUCGACGACGAGGAGCUGCCACAGAGAAGCGCGACGAACAGCCUCUAAUCGAAGAGGAGGUGUCUGUCCAGCAACAACCUCCCCCUCGAGGCAGAAAGACCGCUCUCAUCCUCCCUGCCGACAAUCAACGUCGACACGACGCGCAACAUGACGUCAAAGAAAAUAGACGCCGACGGCACGGAGACGCGGAAGAACGUGGUUAUAGCGCGCAUCGCGGUGGGAGGUACGACAGCGACGAGGACCGGGUGGCCCCCGAGCCACCAGGCCCGCGGGUGUUCAGCAGAGCGAUUCGCAGCACGCCCCUGCCUAGUCCAUUCCGACCCCCAACCAGCAUCGCGAAGUACAAUGGAGAAACCAAGCCAGAGCUAUGGCUGGCCGAUUUCAGGCUGGCUUGUCAGCUAGGCGGCGCUCGGGGGGAUGAUCGAGCCAUCAUCAGGCAACUACCCCUUUUCCUCUCCGACACCGCCCGUCGAUGGCUCGAGGAACUCCCAGCCAAUCAGAUUCACAACUGGGUUGACCUGGUCAGAGUCUUCGAGGGUAACUUCAAAGGGACCUAUAUACGGCCAGGGAACUCGUGGGACCUCAGCAAAUGCAAGCAGAAGACAGGAGAGACUCUUCGGGAGUACGCUCGACGCUUCUCGAAGCAACGCACUGAGUUGCCACACAUCCCCGACCAUGACGUCAUCUUGGCGUUUGUCUCGGGCACCACCAGUCGAGACUUGGUGCGGGAAUUAGGCCGCAAUCGACCUCAGACCGUCGACGAGCUGAUGGACGUAGUAGCUAACUACGCGGCAGGGGAGGAGGCAGUCGGCGCUUUCUUCAGCUCAGAAGGAAGAAAAGGCAAGCAGCCCGUCGAUGAAGAAGGGACUUCCAGUCGAGGCCUCAAGAAAAAUAAAAAGAAGCAGAAAGUACGGCAGUUCCACCAGGGAGAUUCGGGUGACGACCUCGUCGCCACGAUGGAUCGAAAGAAGCCGCGAGGCCCUCCGGAGGGAGGCAUCUUCGACAAGAUGUUGGAGGAGCCGUGCCCUUACCAUAAGGGAGGCGCUAACCACAAACUCAAGGAUUGCCGCAUGCUGAGAAAGCAUUUCGACGGUCAGGGGCUCAAAAAAGAUGCGCGUGAUGACUCCAAGAAGGAGAAGGCUGGCGGCAAGGAGGACAACAAAGAUGACGACGGCUUCCCCGCCGUCCACGACUGCUACAUGAUCUAUGGCGGGCCUUCGACUCGGUUGACCACGAGGCAACGCAAGAGGGAGCGUCGCGAAGUCUUUGCAGCAAGGAUGGCGGUGCCCCAGUAUCUUAGCUGGUCAAGCACUCCCAUCACCUUCGACCGAGAAGAUCACCCCGACAAGGUGGUCGCCCCAGGCGUCUACCCGCUCGUCGUCGACCCCAUCAUCGUCAACACCCGACUCUCGAAAGUGCUGAUGGACGGCGGCAGCAGCCUCAACAUCAUCUACCUCGAGACCCUCGAUCUCCUCGGCAUCGAUAGAGAACGCCUCCAGCCAAGCGCCGGCGGCUUCCAUGGCGUCGUACCAGGGAAAAAAGCACUGCCAGUAGGUCGAAUCGACCUACCGGUCUGCUUCGGAACGGCGGCCAACUUCAGGAAGGAGACCCUCACCUUUGAGGUGGUUGGGUUCCGAGGCACGUACCACGCCAUCAUCGGACGCCCGGGCUACGCCAAGUUCAUGGCUAUACCCAACUACACAUACUUGAAGCUGAAGAUGCCUGGUCCCAAAGGCGUCAUCACCAUCAGUUCUUCCUUUGAGCACGCGUACGAGUGCGACGUCGAGUGCGUCGAGUACGGGGAGGCGGUCGAGAGCUCCACCGAGCUCGUUGCGAAGCUCGAAGCCAUGGCCGCUGAGGCUCCAGAACCUAAACGUCAUGCGGGCAGCUUCGAGGCGGUGGAAGGUACUAAGAAGAUCCCGCUCGACCCCAACAACUCCGACGGCAAGGUGCUGACAAUCAGCACCGACCUCGACCCCAAAUAGGAAGCCGUGCUCGUCGACUUUCUCCGUGCGAAUGCUGAUAUGUUUGCAUGGAGUCCCUCGGAUAUGCCGGGCAUACCGAGAGAAGUCGCCGAGCACUCCUUGGAGAUUCGAGCCGGUUCCAAGCCAGUGAAGCAGCGAUUGCGCCGAUUCGACGAGGAAAAGCGCAAGAUCAUUGGCGAGGAAGUCCAAAAGCUUUUGACGGCCGGAUUCAUCAAGGAGGUUCAUCAUCCUGACUGGUUAGCGAACCCUGUAUUAGUUAAGAAAAAGAAUGGGAAAAUGAGGAUGUGUGUCGAUUAUACUAGUUUGAAUAAAGCAUGUCCGAAAGUUCCUUUUCCGUUACCACGCAUUGAUCAAAUUGUCGAUUCUACCGCGGGAUGUGAAACCCUUUCUUUCCUUGAUGCUUAUUCUGGUUAUCACCAAAUAAAAAUGAAAGAGUCCGACCAGCUCGCGACCUCUUUCAUCACGCCUUUCGGGAUGUAUUGCUACGUGACCAUGCCAUUUGGGCUUCGAAACGCGGGAGCCACGUAUCAACGUUGCAUGCUCCACGUAUUUGGCGAACAUAUAGGUUCAACGGUCGAGGCCUACGUCGACGACAUUGUCGUCAAGUCAAAGCAACGAGGAGACCUGAUCCAGGACCUCGAGGUUGCUUUCAGCUGCUUACGCACCAGCCGGAUCAAGCUUAAUCCCGAGAAGUGCGUUUUUGGCGUGCCUCGAGGCAUGCUCUUAGGAUACAUUGUUUCACAGCGCGGUAUCGAGGCCAACCCAGAGAAAGUCUCGGCCAUCACGAAAAUGGGGCCAAUCCGAGACAUCAAGGGUGUCCAGAGAGUCACGGGGUGCCUGGCGGCUCUGAGCCGUUUCAUCUCGAGACUAGGAGAAAAGGCAUUACCAUUAUAUCGACUCCUGAAGAAGGUCGAGCGUUUUUCUUGGACCCCCGAGGCCGAGGAAGCACUUGAAAAGCUGAAAAAGACGCUGACUUCGGCACCAGUCCUGGUUCCACCUCAACCUGCGGAACCGCUGCUCCUCUACGUCGCGUCGACGACCCAGGUCGUCAGCGCGGCGGUGGUGGUCGAAAGACAAGAAGAGGGUCACGCGCUGCCAGUCCAAAGGCCGGUCUAUUUCGUCAGCGAGGUGCUUUCGGAGACCAAGGCGCGUUACCCCCAAAUCCAGAAGCUGAUCUACGCCGUAAUCCUUGCCCGCCGUAAAUUACAGCAUUAUUUCCUUGGUCAUCCUAUCACGGUGGUCUCUUCUUUCCCUUUGGGCGAAAUAAUCCAGAGCAAGGAGGCCAUGGGAAGGAUAGCGAAGUGGUCGGUCGAGCUCAUGAGCGAGACUCUCACUUAUGCGCCUCGAAAGGCCAUCAAAUCGCAAGCCCUGGUAGACUUCGUCGCAGAAUGGACGGACUCCCAGCUUCCCCCGACUCAGGUCCAGGCGGAGCUGUGGACAAUGUAUUUCGACGGGUCACUCAUGAAAACUGGGGCCGGGGCCGGCCUACUGUUCAUCUCACCCUUGGGCGUCCACAUGAGGUACAUGAUCAGGAUUCAUUUCGCCGCAUCUAACAACGUCGCAGAAUAUGAGGCCCUCGUCAACGGUCUCAAGAUCGCUAUUGAGUUAGGAGUCCGACGCCUCGACGUCCGAGGCGACUCCCAACUCGUCAUCGACCAGGUAAUGAAAGCCUCGAGUUGCCAUGACCCAAAAAUGGAAGCAUACUGCAAGGAGGUGCGUCGACUCGAAGACAAAUUCCACGGCCUCGAGCUCGUCCAUGUCGCUCGACGCUACAACGAGGCAGCCGACGAACUCGCCAAGAUUGCAUCUACCAGAGGCACGGUGCCGCCUGAUGUAUUCUCAAAGGAUCUACACGAGCCAUCCGUCGACCUAGGCACGGGGGCUGGCGCCGAUACCACCAUCGCCCAACCAACCAAUGCCGUCGAUGCGCUCUUGAUGGAGGAAGAGGUGAUGGAAAUAGAACGACGACCGGGUCGACCAUUCGAUUGGCGCACACCAUUCCUCGACUGCCUUAUCCGCGGUGAGUUGCCAGAAGACAGGACAGAAGCUCGUCGUAUCGCUCGACGGGCCAAAUCAUAUGUGAUCUAUGGUGAAGACAACGAGCUAUAUCGACGGAGCCCGACGGGAAUCUUACAGCGUUGCAUCACCAUAGAGGAAGGCCGAAAACUCCUCGACGACCUGCACUCGGGGGCUUGUGGCCACCACGCCGCCCCACGGACCCUUGUAGGAAACGCUUUUCGGCAAGGCUUUUACUGGCCAACGGCCGUGGCGGAUGCCGUCGAGCUCGUACGCUCGUGUCACGGAUGCCAAUUCUACGCCAAACAGACGCACCUGCCCGCCCAUGCUCUUCAGAUGAUCCCCAUCACCUGGCCGUUUGCGGUGUGGGGGCUCGACUUAGUAGGGCCUCUACAAAAGGCGAAAGGAGGAUAUACACAUUUGCUGGUGGCUAUUGACAAGUUCUCUAAAUGGAUCGAGGCUCGACCCAUCACUAACAUCCGCUCCGAGCAGGCCGUCCUCUUCUUCUCCGACAUCAUCCAUCGAUUUGGGAUCCCCAAUGUCAUCAUCACUGACAACGGCACCCAGUUUACUGGCAGAAAGUUCUUGGAUUUCUGUGAUCGGCAUCACAUCCGUGUGAAUUGGUCCGCAGUAGCCCACCCUCGAACUAACGGCCAGGUCGAGCGUGCCAACGGCAUGAUUUUGCAAGGACUCAAGCCAAGGAUCUACAAUCGAUUGAAGAAAUUCGGCAAGAGAUGGGUCGAGGAGCUUUCCUCGGUCCUAUGGAGCCUAAGGACAACGCCGAGCAGGGCCACCAAAUACACCCCGUUCUUUAUGGUCUACGGCUCUGAGGCUAUCCUUCCCACAGACCUCGAGUAUGGGUCACCUCGACUCAAGGCUUACAAUGAGCAAUCGAACAAAGAAGCUCAAGAAAACGCGGUCGACCAACUCGAGGAAGCUCGAGACAUGGCCCUCCUCAAUUCUGCUAGAUAUCAGCAGAGACUCCGACGCUACCACGACAAGCACGUGCGCAAGAGGGACCUCAACGUAGGCGACCUUGUCCUACGACGCCGGCAAAGCAACCAAGGACGCCACAAGCUAACCCCACCUUGGGAAGGCCCGUAUGUGGUGGCCGAGGUCCUUAAGCCAGGAACGUACAAAUUGGCGGACGAAAAGGGGGCAGUCUUCACCAACGCAUGGAACAUCGAACAGCUACGUCGAUUCUACCCCUAGAAGUCCUAGAUUUACGAUCCUACUUUUUGUACGAAGACUUUGUAAAUGAACGCAUGAAUAAAUAAAGUCUUUCCCUCGAGCAGUUUCUUUCUGUACCAAAAAUAGUUACGAAUUAUAGUCUCGACGUUAAAGGGGGAUGCCGACCAUGACCCAUCAUAGUCCGCACCCCCUCGGGGGCUACCAGAGGGACGACCCCUCCCCAAGCGUCGAAAAAGCCAAAAAGUUUCUCUAUUUCCUACUUAGUAAACCUUGAACGAUCGAGUAGUCGAGGCGCCUCGAGCCCCUCGACGACCGGAGGAUAGCGAGCCUGAGAACACCUACCGUACUCCCGCGGCCGACAACCCUACCGGGAUGUACUCCCGCGGCCGGUCCGUCUUCCCCGUCUUCUGCACCAGAUUGAGGCAACCCGCUCGCACGGGUUUCCUCACGCCCGUGGUUCCGGUGGAGGCGUGAAACAGCUCGCCCCUGUAGAGGUGGAGCCACAGCUCCCAGUGCGGCAUCAUCCCUAGGAAGCCCUCACACACGGCGGCGAAGACCGCCGCCACGGUGAUGGCGUUCGGGGAGAAGUGCUGCAGCUCCACCCCAUAAUGGAAGCAGAGGGCCCGCAUGAAGCGGCUUGGAGGCGCGCCCAGACCGUGGCGGUGGAACUUGGCGAACGACACCACGUAGCCCUCGGGUGGCUGAGGCGCCCUGUGGCUCGCUGGCGGCGCGAUCCACUCUGGCGACGACAGCGAGGUGCGGCGGCGCAGCAGUCCCUCCUUCUCGAGCUCUAACAGCCGGCGCUCCGUCAUCGACGACGGGCGCCAGUCAUCGGCGGCGACGAGUCUUACAGGCAUCUUGGCUAACGGGACGGUGGGUUCGCUACGACUCGAGGGGGCGUGUGCGCGUGAGAUGACGAGAAAGCAAAGGCAGCAGAGGAACGAGGGCGAGAAGGCGGAAGGGAGAGGAACGGCGGUGACGCGACAACAUAUUUAUAGGCAGCUGCCCGCCAACGGACAGAUCCGAGAAGUAAGGUAACUCCCCCCAUAAAUGCGCCGCCUGACAGCUCUCUCUCUCUCUCCUCACAGGCCGGACUCUCCGAAUUCCUCGCCGAUACGGUGUCGUAACGUCAUCCGCCUAAAAAGACGCGCCCAACGGGCAGAAAUGCGAACCGCCACGACCGUUUCCUUCCCUCGUAAGCCAAGGGACAUAACCGCAAAAGUCUCGGGAGGUCGAUGGCUGGCCCGCCGAAAGGGUUCGACAGCCGAUCUCGAGCGCCAGAGUCAGGGAUCCCCAGCGAGUGGUCGAAAAUCGAGGCCCGCCUCGAGGACUUGCUGGCGAUGUUCAAGGUAGGGUCGAGACAGUCGAGAGGAAUCCCCCCGAAGGGAGGCAUCGAGCCGCUGGACUCUAUCGAAUGAGACCGGUAUCCCCGACCACGUCGACCCUGCUUUAUGAGGACGCCUCCGGGCUACAGCUGACCCCCUCGAAAGGGGCACAGGUUCUCACUUGGACUACCCGCUAGGAACUCAAUUUGGGAUGAAAGACGCUCGCUCUAUCGAGAGUACGUCGAAACCCACGGGCAAAAACGAGCCAGUCAGAAUCUUCCACCACUGGUGUCGAAAGCGUUUUUGCGAAUUAGACAACAUAACCCUCGAAGGAGUCAAAAAACUCCUCCGAGGGCUCGGGGGCUACCCCGCGGGGUCGCUCGCGCGCCCCCACGAAAAUUCGAUCGUAAAUCAAAACCUCCAAUCGAGCGCUAGCGCUCGAGUGAAGGCUCGGGGGCUACUGUCGAGGGUAUCGGUUAGGGGUACCCUCAGUAAGGCACAUUAUGAGAUUGCCCGUACGAAGGUCGAGACCCUUAAUUCGACGCUCUCAUCUUACGUACGUGCCGCCAUCGACAGUCGCAGCCUCGAAGACGGAAAUAGUCUCAAGCGAAUCGGUUCAGGACUCGAACGACGACUGCCCUCGAUGACGGAAGCGGGCUCGAGCGAACUGAGAGGUCCCAGGCGUGAGGACACUGUCCGCCGCCCGACGCGCGCACGCGAGCCGAAGCAUUAAAUGCACCUGACGCUUCCCCACCUAACACACAGGCCACGGAAGGCGUGAUAGGGAGCAAGCUUCUGUCCCAUCGUUCCUUUUGCAGCCUUCCCACCGAACGACCCAGGGCGAGUCAGGACACAGGAAACAAGGAUGGAACGUCUAAUCGGGACCCCCUCGAGACACCCAAGGUCAGCGCUCCAGAUAUCGGCAUAUUACGCGGCGCCCGACCCUCGACCGAACAAGGUCCCUUCCCAGGGACAAGUCGGGCGUCGACUGACAACGCCACAGCUACUCCGCCGGAUCCGCCACCAUACCAUACGAGCGUGCGACCUCAGAACCAGCACAAGGCGGCUGGCAGGGCAGCACGAGGGAGCACGCGUAAUCAUCACCAAGCUAUCAAGAUGGGACGGCUCGAGGCCAUGCCGUACGGAAGCCUCGAGUAGGUCAGCGCUCCAUGCGGCUAUCGAUCCCUACUCUAACAUCUAUGCAUGUACCCUGUGUCUCUCCUUGGAGCUAUAAAAGGAGGGACUCAGGAAUAGAAGAGGGGGACAUCACAACGCAAAAACACACACACACACGUAGUAGAGCGAUACAUUUCAUUCCACGCUUGUAUUCGCCCCUGUACAAGCACUUAGGUGCAAGAUAAUACAAACUCUCUCCCCCCGCUGGACGUAGGGCCUUCUCUUGCCCGAACCAGGAUAAAUCUCUGUGUCUUCUUGCAUCACCAUCCGGAAAGGGGAGCACGCAUACAAAUUUACUCGUUGGUGUGACCCCCCCCCCGGGAAAAAAACACCGACAAGAACUGCAUUCAGAACACCCAUAGGCAUGUCACCUUAUCAACUUGUAUAUGGAAAAACUUGUCACUUGCCUGUGGAAGUAGAGUUUAAGGCUCAUUGGGCACUCAAGAAAUGGAACAUGGAUCUCCACCUUGCUAGCGAGAAUCGUCUGAUGCAACUAUUUGAGCUAGAAGAAUGGAGAGAGAAAGCCUACCACAAUUCAAGGAUCUAUAAAGAGAGAACAAAACGAUGGCAUGAUAAGAGAAUCAAGCACAAGGAGUUUAAGCCUGGAGAUAAGGUUCUACUAUUCAAUUCAAGAGUUAAGCUCUUUGGGCAUGGUAAGCUACGAAGUAAGUGGGAUGGACCAUACAAGGUUAUUGACACUUCCACUCAUGGAGCCAUUACUAUCCAAGACAACAUAGGUAACACUUUGAAGGUAAAUGGUCAACGCUUGAAAAUCUAUCUUGAGCCACAAAACAACCUGGUAGAGGAACUUGAUGUGAUUGAGUUCAUUGAAUUCUCAUAUUAAGCUCUAGACAAUUACCUAAACCUUAACAUGUUCCACGAGUUUUGUUGUCUAUUAGGGUUGUGCAGGAUUUUGAGGCUUAAGAAGAGUGAGACCGAACAUGCAGGCCACAAGUAAACGAUUAUGUCAACAUCUAGCUUGGGGGAGGCACCCCCACGUGUAUAUAGAUAAGUAUUGCUUCUCUUUCCUGGUUUUAUUUACUUGUAUUCGGAAAUAAAUAAAUAAAUAACUGCAUAAUCACGAAACCAAACAAAGUUUUUCUUUUGAGUAAUAUACAAUAGUUUUGUGUAAUCCUCAGUUUUAAAUAAAAUAAAAAUAAAGUUUGAUCCAAGUCUAGGUAAUUCACAAACAUGAUAUGAGAAGGUUUGAGCUACUAUUUAACUUGUUCCAAGUUUUGCUAGAGUUCUGGAGAUUUUAUCUUUUGAAAAUCUAAAAAUUCAAAAAAAAAUGAUGAGAUCCUGUUUGACAUACUUAAGAUAUGAAUAUUAAAACUGUGGGCACUUGCUUUUUUCAAGGCAUUGUUAAUUCUUGUAGUUUUGGUUGAGAGAAUUAUCAUGCUCCCAAGAUCAAGAUCUUUUUGUUUUAAAAAUAUAAAAGGUUCACUCUUCCGAAGUAUUAUUGCGUUAGAGGCAUGGGACUAUGCAAAAAUUUGAUUCGAAAAAAAGAAGUGAGACGAGAGGUAAAAAUGGACAAGUGUUCGAAGUAGAAUUAGGGGUACAAAGAUACCCACCUGAGUGGAAAAAUGGACAUGUGUCCGACAGUACAAUUAGGGGUACUUGCUGCCCACUUGAAAAAAAAGAGAGAGAAAAAGAAAAAAAAAUGAUAGCACAUGGUCCCUCUAAUAAGCAAUAUGCCAGUAAGAGAUGACAAACUUUUCAAAAAGGUCAAAGGUCUUAAUCUAGGAGUAUGACAUCCCUCUCCCUUGCUUGGAGCAUUGACAUAGGAAAAUGCAAAGUAAGUAUGCUAAAACUUUUAAAGCUCUACUUAUAUAUCUUUCAAGAAGAAGGCAAAUGCCUCAGUUUUAUUUUGGUAACUUACAUAAAAACUCCAGAACAGAGGUAAGACAGAAGAACUUGAGACAUAGUGCUUGACUUGAUCGUUCUGUUUUUCAACCACUUAAGACCUUAGUGAUAACUUUAAAAAGCCCUGUAGUAAGGAGCAUAAAAGUAACCCAUGUUUUCUUACUGAUUUUAGCUUUGCUCAGGGACGAGCAAAGGUUAAGCUUGGGGGAGCUUGUUGACGGUCCUUAAUGCUCACAUUUAACCGUCAACUAAUCAUGGAAAAGGAUCCAAAUGCAACCAACACCUAGACUUAGGGUUUUAUCUGACAGAAUUCCACGAGUUUUGGUGUUUGUCUAUUUCUGUAGGGGGUUAUCAGGAAAUAUGGAAGAAAGGCCCACAUGUGAGGAUUACAUAGAUAUAUUAACGCAACGCGUAAUUUUCCACCAUCUAGAAGACUCCAGAAGCCACGGGAACGAACGGGAAGGCAAUCAGGCUUGGAGGCAGGGCACUCGCCCUACUCUCCUAGGCGCCCGCCCUGGAGUUGUAACCAAACACGUCCAAUCUCACGGAUUACGUUCCACCGACCUAAAGGAUCAAGGAAAACUGUGCGAUUAAUGUCUGUUUGAUCCGACGGCCCAGAUUCAUCUGAAAAGACUAUUUAAGCAAGGCCCCCUGGCCCUGGAGAGCAUACCUCUUCUAUAGAAUCAAAGCUAGGGUUUCAAUUCUUCAUCCAAGUAGAGAGGGUCCCUCUAGUUCUUCUAGUUCUACCUCUAUUUCAUCUAGUUCUAGUUCUAGUUCAUCUAGUUCUAGUUCUAGUUCCUCUAGUUCUAGUUCUAGUUAGUUCUAGUUGUAAUCCAGAAAAUAGGGAGAGAGAAGAGGAGAGCAGAGGAGGAGGAGCCAGAUCUGUUGGAUCUUCCUCAACAUUGUACUUUUGCAGCAACUGGUUCGUUCUUCAUCAUUCUCCAGGUUUUUCAAUUCAUAAUUCCUGAGUUCUUUAAUUACUUUUAUUUACAUUCAAGUUAUUUAUUGGAUUCCCGCUUGCAUCAAGUGCUCUAAUCUUUGCAACAUUAGAGUAGUAAUUAAUAGAUUAGACGUGGUGUUUAGUCUUGCAAUUACCUGGAAUUGCACCCAAUCCUGCGGAUUGUUGUGGUAGCCUUAGGGUAGUGACAGCCCUAACGGUUGACGUAUUCCACCUCAUUCGGAUCGGUGUUUGUAGGACCGUAGUCAGACCUUCGUAGCCCCCUUCUCAUCUCUUUUUGUUGUUAGUGCUCUGAUGUCCCGAUAUAAAUAAUCUUUGAAGUAAUUCUUGAUUCUUAGAUCAACUAGAGAACUCUCAGGAAACUUCCUCUCUUCCCACCAAAAAUAAUUAUAUAGUUAUCCUUGGGCGAUCUUGAUUCUUAAUUAGUACACUCACGUUCCCUGUGGAAAAUCGAUACUCUGGAAUACUCCCGGGUGAAAGCUACAUCGGUAUCCGUGAGCUUGCGGAUUUUUCUGUUUGCGCUUAAAAUACCGAACAGGAUCCAGAGCCAACUGAGCUAUCUGAUCGGGAAAAUCCGCCUCCUCAUCAUCACUGAAAGGCGCAAGGAAUUCCAUCGGCAACAUGAACACCAUAUUAACGUCUGUCGAUGGACCUUUUCCUUUAGAAUCUGACUACUACCGAUCUUCAGUCUUAGCAGAAUUCUCUUCUCUACUCAGCUCUUCUCGUCGUUGUCGCUGCAGCCUUCUUUUCGGUGUCCUAGUUAAUCCCUUUGGACACCAUGGAGGAAGUUGUGGCUGUCUAACCGACUAACGACGAUUUUCCCUUGAUUCCACCCGAAAAAUAUUAGCAUCUCUGCAAAAUAUGAACUCAUCAGAACUCGUGCAUCUGCCAUCUCUUCAAGUUCCUCUUGGUUUCUAGGAAAAUAACCAACACGAUCACCAAGCCUAUCAUGCACCCUGAGUCUGCCCCCCAACCGAUCAUGAACUGAGGCACUUCCCCUAAUCGGCCCAUCGAAACGCCGAUCAUUGUUCUGAUACUGCCGAUUUGGUCUAUCGUACCGAUUAUAGCCAUUGCAUUCAGGGCAGUCUCUAACAGUUGGUAACUUGAUGUUUUGCUCCCAACAGUGGAUGAAGAACGGGUAGUUCCAGUGAUCUUUAUGCUGAUUCCACUCCUGUCGGCGUCUUUCUUCUUCCCAACGACGAUCCUCCUAUUGGCGCCGAUACCGAUCUUCACAUUGCUGCCAGGUCUCCUGAUGCCUUCUAUGAGUAAUCACAAUGCCAGAUCAGGGAGGCCUUCCUAAACUGGUUCUUCCUGGAUCAAGCCCUUACCUUUAGCAUCAUCGGUAGUAAUCUGGUGCUAAGGAUCAACCGAUGCGCUUCUUUCAGCUGCCUCUGAAGUCAAUACAUUGGUCUUUCCCUUAGCAUCCAACAUGUUUGUACGGAAAGGAUGUUGGUUGAUCUUCAUCGGCUUUUGAGUUUUGGAGCUAUCGAAUUUAAUUCUCCCAGACUCUAUAGCCAAUUGCAGUUGUUGCCUGAAAACCUUGCACUCAUUUGUACUGUGAGAUGUUGCAUUAUGCCACUUGCAAUAUUUAAUCUUCUUUAAUUCCUCUGCCGAUGGAAUCACAUGAUUGGGCGACAACUUAAUUUUCCCUUCUUGAAGUAGAAAGUCAAAUAUCCUAUCGGCUUUGGUGAUAUCAAAUGCAAACUUCUCUUGUUCUUUGUGCCCAAAAGGGCAAGACAUCGGCUUCUUGUUUUCACCCGUUCUGCCAAGCCGAUGACUGGUUCUUCAUCAGAAUCUGAACUUGUUGCCUCAUCGACAAAUGACACCUUUUUGUUCCAUGCCAUCUUAGGUUCAAAAGCUUUGAUAUCUUGGUCCGAAAUCCUUUGCACUAAAUGGCUCAUACUUUCAAACUCUUGAGAAGCAUACUUGUCUCUGAUAUGUGGCAACAAUCCCUAGAAAGCCAAAUUGGCUAGCUGCCGAUCAUCUAGAACCAGACUAUAGCAUUUAUUCCUAACCUCUCGCAACCUUUGCACGAAGCUUUCAACCGAUUCAUCAUUGCGUUGCUUUAGCCAGAUUAAAUUCGUAAUCUUCUUCUCAUGAACUCUAGAAAAGAAGUAUUUGUGAAACUGUUUUUCUAGAUCGGCCCAUGUGAUCACUGAGUUUGGAGGUAAUGAAAUAAACCAAGUAAAGGCCGAUCCAGACAAAGAUGACAAGAAUAAGCGAACCCUUAACUCAUCUCUGUUAGCAGCUUCCCCAUAUUGGAUGAUAAACCUGUUACCAUGCUCCAUGGUUGAUGUAUCAUCCUGCCUAGAAAACAUGGUGAAAUCCGGCACAUUGUACCGAUUUGGAAGCGGAAUUAAGUCAUAUGCGGGAGGAUACGGUGUCCGAUAAGAGUAAGUGUUGACUUUGCGUUUUAUCCCGAAUUGGUCCCUCAUCACCUCAGCUAUCUUAUCAGCCCAAUAAGCAUCAGCAUCUUGCCGUUGAGCUAGUUGUGGAUCUUGCAUCUGCUGGUAAGCUUCCACAUGUCUAUACGGUGCACGAUCUCUAGGGAACAUAGGAUUUGCCACUGCCUGUUGGCCGCCAACUUGCUGGCUAAGAUUCAUCGGCUGGUUGAUCAACCCCUGAUUCUAAAAUCCAGGUUGCAUUAGUCCCUGUGGAAAUCCCAUAGCCUGAUGAUUCUGCUGAGGCAUUUGUGGAAAAACAAACUGUCUUGUCCAUCCAUUGUUAACAUUCAUCGGCGUAGGCCCUGCCGAUGGCUGAUAAUUGGGCAUCAUCAUUGUGUUGACAUACUCUGGCUGUGUCAUGAACCUCUGUUGCGUCGGCAUUAGAUCUGCCGAUUCGUUAGGCAUCUGGAACGUUGGCAUUUGAGACUUCCCAGUAAAAGGUCUUGCAGUUGUAGUUGUAGAAUACCGGGGAUUCUGAUUCAUCGGCGAGCUUGGGGGUGCCGAUGCCAUAGGAGCCUUGCCUGUCAUGUUAGCCGCUUGAGACGUCCCAGAGCUAUUUGCCAUAAACUCUGGGGGCAUACCAUAUCCCCACCAAUUAGGAGGAACAGACCCUGACAUUGCCGAUGCCAAUAAAUCUGUAUCAAGUUUGACUUGUCCCUCUGAUGUUGAUGGAUUGGUCGUCAUCGGUGUAGAUUGCGCAUUAGAUAUCCCUAAUGUGCUUGGAGGAGAAGUAACUUCUGUACCCGCAAUGGCCGUAGUAGCCGAUGGAGCCAUAACCAAUGACGCUCCUGGCUGAUGAUAGGCUGGGCCCACAUAAGAUGGUGGUACUUGUCCUUCUUUGAAAGUUCUAGCCACAGCAUUGAAAACUGUAUUGGACAGCACACUAGAUUGAUUGAUUAGAGCACGAUUAAUAGCAUUGUGAACCAUCUCUUGAAGUUUACCAGGAUUGGCUUGAAAAGUGAUUUGCCGAGGCAUCGGCAAUGCUUCCUUUUGGAUCACCUCGCCACUUCUGUUGAUGCUGAAGAAUUUUAAGCAUAGCUGCUUGUAGUCCUCCAUAGGUUUUGCCAUAGCUUGCUUCUGUUCAUCCCUGAGAUUGGCUUCCGUCACGGGGAUGACGUUCUCCAAGUCGAAAUCGGUGUUCGACAUGUUGAUCUUGAUGUUGAAUCUCUGUCCCACUAGGCGUGCCAAAAGAUGUGUUGAUGCAAAAGUGGAUCUGCAAACACAAAGGGCUAAUACCUGAUUCAACGUUUAGGCGUGCUAGCCGAUUUGACCUUACAAUUGACAAAGGUGGUAACUCGAAUAUUUUGGUCCCGACAACAGCGAUGCGCCCGGAUGUCACGGCCAAGAGGUAUUCACGUGGAACUCGAGAACUCACCGAGGUUGACUCGAAGAAUUCCAAAGAAUUCGUAGUAAAAGGAAAAUAUGCAAAUUGAUGAAGAUGUCGAAAAAAUAGAUGCUGGAAUAGAUGUACAAACUUGUGUUUGAUUGAUUGUGUCUUACAUUGCUACAGGGUCUCAUAUUUAUACCCUGCCCAAAAGGGUUACAAUCAGACACGACUAGGACUCGAAUUCCAAAUUAAACAGAAUUCGUAUACAAAACAAACUCUAAUAACUAUGGAAAGCAUAAAUUAUCUUCCACAACCGAUCGGUACACCACCAUGAAUCGAUUGACAACCCCUGCGCUCUCCUUCAUGACCAUCGGCAAAUCAUCUCCCAUAGCCAUCGGCAGCCAUUAGCACCAGUCAUCGGCACGAAUCCAUCACUACUCCUGGACUUGGCCAUACCUUGUCUUUUUUUCAUCGGCAACUCUUCUACAGACUAGUCACCACAUCUCUGCCUGCUGAUCUACACCUCAUUAACUCUAGAUACACGUCCAAAGAUACGUGUCCAAAAACUGUGUCAACAGGAGGUCCUUGGUGGUUUAUCAACAUGUGGCUCAACAUUCAUAUGCACAAGCGCCCUCAGUGGGAUUUCUUUGCACAACGGUUCCCACGAGAUAUUGCUGAGGACCAUGAACUAGCAGAGGAUGAAUCAGCAACACGCUCGCCCCUCAAUUACGGCGAAGCCAUCAUAGUUCUCCCCGGUACCAAUGCAAAUGUGAACCAGACCGGCCAAUUCUUUCAAACAUUGUAUGACGGCCUCUCCAAAGAUUAAGGAGCCUGGAUGCCUUAUGAAGAUCCAGAGUCCAGAUUUCCACUCACUUUCCACCCUGCCAAUGAUGCACUUAACAAGGAUAAUGAUAUGAUGAUGGCAAUCAUUACCCCAAGAGCAAUCCCAGUGAACAACUUUGACAGCGGAAAGAACACCAACACUACUUACGAGUUCUACAACCCAUCGGCACUAGCUCGCCAACUGGCUUUUGGUCAACUACCCAUUAAACUUUGCUAUGCCGAUGUAAUUAAGCCGAGGGAAGUGAUAACCAGUGGACUCGAGUGGAUCAGAAUAGCUCAGCUCCAGCCAGAUGCCGAUACAACAGAUAUUGAUCUAUCGGCUUGGGUUCCAGCCCUUUUCAUCACUCAGUCAUACAAAUAGUGGUCGGAAGAAUGGAAAGAGCACUUGUUCAAGGUAUCGGCUCAUAUGUACCGUAACAUGAUCGACCCCUAGCACGAAGUUCCCGAUGAUGUUGUAAGUCUCUUUUCCGAUACUCGGUCUUUUCUGUUAACUUCAAUUCUAUCGGUAAAUAACCCCUUUUACUUCAACAGGUUGAUAACCCAGCGCCAACAGUAAGCAGAAGUGGGAGGCUGAUCGACCUUCUCCCAUCAGGCCCAAUAUCUCUGAUUGGCCACAACGUGCCAAGCCUAGCAGUCCUGAUGCACCGAAACAUCCGCUUCAAGAAGACGACCACCAAAUGGUCGAAAGUUUCUCCAUCGGUAGCUGCUGCCACUCUGGCACAAGCUUUUAAGGUAAAUUCUUAAUUUUCCCUAUCAUACCGAUUUAAUCCCAUACUUACACUAUCCUUACAGGGUGCAUCGGCUGCAACUGGAAUGUCAUUGGUAAUUUUGUUUUGUACCGAGUAUUCUACUCUUUCAAAUUCCAACAAUGUUUGUCUGCUUUUAUGUCUAACCUGUAGAACCUUGAUCUUUUGUAACAGCAGACCAGUGCAUCGGCAAGAACCAAGAGCACUCAAUCAUCGGGUGCCGAUGCCCCCCAGCCCAGUCAGGCUCCACCUAAGAGAAAGGGUCCAAGCAGUACCAAGACCCAGCCAAAGCGACAGAAGACAACACCAUUGUUGACACUUGCUAACACCACUUGAAUACUAGGUUGUCAUCCCCAGCAUGGCACUAGAGUGUACUAUGGUAUUUAUACACACACAGAUGAAUCCGCAAGCGCACAGAUACCGUUGUAGCUUUUACCCGGUUAAAUGUUUUAUCGUAUCCACAGGGAAACAGGAGAACUGAUCUACGCUCUAACUUAACCUAGAUAGAUAGGUGUAAAUAGGAAAGAUGGUAGAAUUGAAUAAGAACAAUAUUAAAGGUAAGAUAACAAUGGGUGAUAAUAUGGGAAUAGAGAGUAGAGCAAUCUAGUAUAUGGGCGAUGGUAGGAGAAUAAAGAGGAUAACUAUGGUUUCUCUACUUCAAAGGGGUAUGUCUAUGUCUGGGAUGAACCACGUGAUAAGAAUACAUCACAAAGGAUGCUUAUCCAUAGGCCGAUAAACCCUACCCAUCCUGUUAACAGGAGGUGGACUACAUGGGACCAACGUAACUGUCACCUACGCGGCCUACCACACGAUCCGGCUAGACACGGGAUAUCCACAAGUAAUCUAGGUCUAAGCACCACGCUCUACCUAUACUACAACUCUCACCUAUAGCGUCCUAUAGAUUAAAGUACUCAAAAGAGUUGUGAACCAGAACAUACAUGGAUAGUAAUUGCAUAAUGAAAUAAGAAGUAGAUAACAAGAGUCAUCCCAUGAGCAAGCUUGAUUAGAGCUUGAUCAUGGCGAAGUACAACUAGAGGAAGAACCGAGAGGCUGGCCUCUCCUCUAAUCCUCCCUCGCUCUCCAUCUCGCUACUAUCUAGAUCUACUCUAGUUUAGAGAUGAGAGGAGAGCUCUCAUCUCCAAACCCUAGCUUUUGCUCUGUCUAUGUAGAGGAAAGGUUAUCCUUCGAGGGCACCUCUCAACUCUAUAAUGAACUUGUUCUCCUCCAGGGGCAGGGGGUCUGCUUAUAUAGUCCCCUCAGGUGAACGUGGGCCGUCGGAUCAAACUGACAAUGAUUGAACGGUUAUCCUUGAUCCUUUAGGUCGGUGGAGCAUAAUCCGCGAGAUUGAACGUGAUUGGGCACAACACCUGGGCGGGCGCCCAAGGGAGGAGGGCGGGCGCCCUGCCCCCGAGCCCGCUCGACUUCCCAUUCGUUCCCGUCGCUUCUGGAGUCUUCUAGAUGAUAGAAAAUUGUGCGGCACGUUAAUAUCUCUAUGUAAACCCGACAUGUGGGCCUUUCUUCCAUAUUUCCUGAUAACCCCCUGCAGAAAUAGACAAACACCAAAACUCGUGGAAUUCUAUCAGAUAAAACCCUAAAUCUGGGUGUUGGUUGUAUUUGGAUCCUUUUCUUUAUUUAUUUGAUGUUUAUAUUUGGUACUUAAGGACCGUCAACAACUCCCCCAAGCUUACCUCUUGCUCGUCCGUGAGCAAGGAUGGACUCAAGAGUUUCUACAGUGGUUUCAUGCCUUAAAGGUACACAUGCGUUCAAACAAGAUCUCAUCUCUGGGUUAGGAUAAACUAUUAAGAUUUAAACUUACUCAUAUUACCUUCCACCAUGGGGCUUGUAACCGUCACUUGUGUCUUGAGGAGUUAAAAGAUAGAACGGUCAAGUCAAGCGCCAUGUCUCUUGUUCUUUGAUCAACUAUAGCUCUGGAGUUUUUGCAGAUUUUCAAAAUAAAACUCAGAGAUUCAUUGUAUGACUCUCUCAAUUCUCUCUUUUGUGGUAUUUCUGGAUCCUUACCAAGGCAGUGAUGGUAUAUGCCUUCUCUCAAAGUAUGUGGUAUUUGUGGUAUGAGGCAUAGUGACAUUGUCUUCUCUCUCAUCCUUCUCUAAUAAGGUUUUGAUAUCUGGAGCUCAUAGGUGGGAGAUAAAGUAUACAUACUUACAAGACAUUUAUUGCAUAGUCAAACCAUGGAUCCAGAGAAACAAGUCAAUAAGUCAAAUCAAGAUGUGCAUGUGUGGCGAAUGAAUGGUGUAUGGUGAUGAUGGUGAUAAUGGUGAAAGCAAUGGUGAAAGUCUAAUUCUACUUUUGCUCUUUUGAGGGGAUACAUACCUUUCUUGCACUUUGAAGCUUUUUGAGGGGAAUGAGAUGCUCUAUAUUUUCUUUUUCUUUUCUCUCAAGUGGGUAUCUUGUACCCCUAAUUCUACUGUCGGACACUUGUCCAUUUUUACCUCUCGUCUCACUUUUUCUUUUCUUCGAGGUUUCGGGCACUUGCCCCUCUUUUAUUUCCUUGUUUUCAAUUUUUUCAGAGCACUCACCCUCCUGGAAUAAUGUAGCAAGUGGUAGUAACCAAAAUAUCUUGAGCAUUUAUUUAAUGGGGAAUAACAGGGAUAGGAUAAUGUUUUUUUGGCUAUUCUCUCCUAGAUAGGAGUAGAAUAAUUUUGGGUGAAUCUGGAGAUGGAAAUGAAUGGAUGUAUGUAGAUGCGUACUUCUGGAGUAGAAGCAGCAUGUAUGAGUGAACGUGCAAGUGAAUCUUGAUUUUAACCGCAUGACAAGCUCCUAAGGGUCUACACAGCUUGACCACACUCAAUGCUCAAAAGCAGUAAAAAGUAAAUGUAUGGUUCAUAGUCUAAUAAGCAUGUAUAUGUGGCUGUGGUAGGAAUUUAAACUCUCAUCAUACAGGAACUCAUCAUGCAACAUUUUUAAGAUUUUCAAAGAUAAAAUUCUCCAGAAUUCUAGCAUCUCUAGGAACAGAUAAAUAGCAGCUCAACAUUCCCAUAUCAUAUCCGUUAACGACUUAGACUUUAGAUCAAGUACUCUUCCCACAAGUUCAGAUUUAGAGCAAAUCUUAAUUCAUAACAGUCAUGCCUAAACUUGAGAGAGAGCUCAAAUUUGAAAACUAGGUAAUUGGUAGAGCAACUAUUCAUCAUUUCUAUGUGAGAGCUUAUCAUGAGGGUUCAUAGCAAACUUCAUUUAUUUAUUUAUUUAGCAAACUAAGCAAAGAUAUAUAUAUAAGUACAAAAUCUUUAUUUGAGUUUUUAAUAUUAUGCAUCUUUUUAUUAUUUGAGUAAAGUAUAAACGCGAGUAGAAACACUUAGCUGGAUAAAUGGGGAUGCUCUCCCCCAAGCUGGAUUUUGACGUAAUUUCUUUCGAUGUAGCUAGCAGGUGACGGAGGUGCAUUUGAAUGUCAGCAGCACCCUGACAGUGAUUAGGAUGUCCUCCGUCUGUUAGUCUUCUUUGAUCCUUGAAUUUUGUGGAGCUCAAAUAGACAACAAAGCUUUGUGGAACUAGUUAAGUGUUAGCAUAAAAUCUCUUAGCCAAUAUCAUGUUGAGCUUCCUCUAAUAAAUAUUACUCUCUUUGGUAGGAUCAUAAAUUUAUUUUUAUAUUUUCAUUUCUAUAAGACAGGAAUAUAUUUAUUUUAUUUUUACGCCACCACAGUGAAUGUACUUAUGGGUUUUAUGCCACAAGCAUACUCACAUGGGGCUUACUAUUUUUAACAUUUUUAUUUUCUUUUCAAGAUAGCAUGAUUAACUAACAAGCCAUUUAAGGAAAGUAAAUAAUUUAAGGGAAAAGGGAAUGCAGAAAGGAUAAAUAUGGAUAACUACCGAUUUUUACAUUUCGGCGAGCGAUCAAUGUUUUAAGUCUUCUAAACAAGACUUCUUACCGUGUUCACUCUUCAGGUGCGUCAUUUGAUUCAGGUGUGGACCUUGACGUCUGCACCUCUUGAUACGGUGUCACCCAUGUUCUUCAUUUGCCCAGGAGUUCGAAGUGCGGUGUUGGCAGUAUCUUGCUCAGUGUGUUUGUGCUCGUAGAUCCAGGUCCUUCACUUGGUGGAGUCUGGGAGUUGCAAAACUCCUCCAUAUUUUGCUCGAAGUGUACCUGCUCAUAGAGACAAGGUAGAGAUCAAGUGCAUGGGCCCUGUUGGUGGAAAACACCAACAUAACCAAAAGUGUAUUUGUUGUUCUCUAACCUUAAGCAUAGGGAGAAAGACAAAGUUGAUGGAUAAUAAGGUCAUGAGUGAAGCCUUUAAAACAUUUGUCAGAUCAGAUCGCUCAACCUUAUGGAAAGGUAAUCUAUCUGUGUAUAUGUCUUAUUGUUUAUAUCUUCCCAAAGAUUGAAUGUGCAACAUUUUAGCUUGCAUGAUUAGGAGUGUGGGAUCACAAAGGUGGAAGGACUAAACAUGUUGAAUCGAUUGGGUUGGUUAACCUAGAGUUGUAAAUCAUAUAUGUUUGUCUCUUUUAUUCAUAUGAACGCCAGAACCAAGGAGAAGCUUAUAAAAGUGAUAGUCAAGUACCUUAAGAUGUUACCUUACUUGAAGAGUGAUGGUACAGUAUCACCUUGUGGAAGCUUUCCUUUCUUAGCGGUUGUGCAUCGUGUUUGUGGCACCCUCCAUGGAUCAUCUCUUACGAGCUACAUCUUCCUUGUGUAAAUUGUUAAACUUGAUGUGUCUCUCUCUUUGUCUCCAAUGUGAGUUUAUCUCAGGACUUCCCAAAUCGAUAUUGAAAGUUUUUAUACAGGGGUUAGUCCGACAAAAUAUACCGAUGUCUACACAAGCAGUUUUAAGUUCAAUAACCGAACUAGACUCCAUGUCUAAUCAGAUUAAGGAAGGCUGUUUAACAUAAGCACCAUGCUUAAUUUAAAAGCCAAUAGAAGUAUAUGCAGUACUUCCAAACUAACACUUACUAGGAUAAACAAAGGUAGCGUGAUGUUAUUUAUAGAGAUCUACUCAAGUGGAGAUGAAGUAGUGUGAUUAGUAUUUAACAAAUUGAGCAUGUCUCAAAGAUAGGGACAAUCAACAUAGCAACAUGGCAAAUGAUGUUUUUAUGUAAGGUACUCCCCAAGCUUGAAUUUUGCAAAAUUCAAGUUUGGAUGGAUUUAAUUCAGUGUUGCAUGAUGAUUGGUUGGACAUACCUUGUACUUGCUUGUCGUUCAUCCGAUCUUCUUGCUCCAAUCCUGGAAAGGUUAGUGACAAGAAUACCUGAAGGAAUAUUUUUACAAUUAUCCUUAUGUGCUCAAUAUACCAGGUAAUGUUGCAAAUAAUUAAAAGCUCAUGUUACGAUCUGAUCAGUGCUUAUUUUAGGACACUAAGCUUGUCCUUGGGAAACCAUCAGUUUAUGUUGGCGAAGUGGUUUCCCCUCCAACGGUGACCUAUAUCAAGAUCAACUCAACGAGAUCUGCAAUAUUUAUUAUAGACAUAUGAAUCGACAACCACCCUUUUAAAGUUUUUAUAAAUAGAAAGGAAGAGGGGUUGGAGAUCUCAAAUGUGGUGAUGUUGGAGAGACCAAUAGAUUGGGAAGAUGUUGCAUAUGAGCAUGGAGUAAACGAAGUGGCUAUGAAAUAAAUUCCAAGCUCAUUAAUGUUAUCUUCAUCUCCAAUCUGAAUGUUCGGAGUUUCUCCUGGAUUGGUCUCACCUAUGUCCUCUUCUGUAGUUGGAUGAAUCUCAUCUUCAAAGGGAGUCAAGAACUCACCAUUUGAAAUUGAGCCAAAGUCAGAAUCCAUUAAGGCUUCUUCCUUGUCCAUCCAUUCUACACAUUCUAGCCAUUUAGAACUUGUGAUCAAGAUAGGGGAGCUGAUAGAAUCUUCUAUAUGGCUUAGCACUCCUUCUAUAGCAUUACUUGACAUGCCAUCCUUAUGGUCUUCAUGACUCCUAUGGUUUGGUCGUCUUGGUGAAUUGCUAGGAUCCUCAUGAGACUGGAAAGGAGAGUGAUUAGAGGGAUCUCUAAGGUCAAGGAUGGAUUUAGAACUUGUGAACGUGGAAGGGGAGCCGAUAGAAUUUUCUAUAUGGCUUAGCUCUCCUUCACUUGAUAUGUCAUCCUCGACUUCUUCGUAACAGGAACCAGGACAUUCUGUAAGAGAACCAUUAUUGCAAGGAUUUGAAUUAUCCCUACCUGAAGGUCUCUUAUGGAACCAGAAGUCUAAACCAUCAGCAUCUGAAAGAUUUAAGAUUGGAAUUCUUUCUCCCUUGGAGAAUUUUGGGGUAUUGAUGGUUUAGGAUUGAUAGCUAAAGUUUGGGAUUGAAGUGGUUGUGAUCUAGCUAUCGAAACUUCUUCUUCUUGUCUAGGAACUGGUUCUUUCUCUUUCUCAGGGAUAUAAAUGCUAGGAAACUUUCCACUCAAUGAAUCAAUUAAAUCCCUAGCUUCACUAGCAGGUAGGUGAUAGAAUGAUCCUUUAGAGGCUGUAUUCAAGGUUUGUUUAUUUCCCCUACUAAGGCCCUCAAAAAAGUGAAUUAGAAGAACUUCUUCUGGAAUAGAAAGCUUUGGACCAGUGAGAGUAAGGUUAAUAAAGCGAUCCCAUGAUUUGCCAAGAGAUUCUUCUUCCAGUUGUCUAAAAGAAAUAAUCUCACGCCGAAGUUCCGCCACUUUGGAGAUUGGAAAAUAUUUAGAGAGAAAACUAUUGUAUAGCUCCUUCCAAUCUCCAUGAGCACUUCCUAUGUUGAGUUUAUACCAAUGUCUAGCUUUUCCCGUUAAAGAGAACGGAAAGAGCUUCCAUUUAACGGUCUCAUCAGACAUGCCUUCAAUGCGAAGGAGGUCACAGACUCGAUAAAACUCUCUUAGGUGUGUGUAUGGGUUUUCCUCACCUUCUCCUGAGAAAGGUUGUUUUUGAACAAAUUCUAUGUAUUCGGGGUCUAUCUCAAAACUAGAUGCUUUGAUAGGCUUUAAAGAUUUUGGUGGUUCGAGAUGUGUGCCCUUAGGUCUAUGAAAUUCAUAGAUAGACAUGUUUGAAUUCAUGAUAGACCAGAGAUCAAGGAUUAGAUAAGAAGAAAGAAUAGCAGAGAUAAGGCAAAGGAUAAAAGGAAAAAUAUAUAUUUUUUUUGUUUUUUAGAAAAUGAUUAAGCUAGUUCGUAGUCAACUCAGCAACCGUUUCCCCAGCAAUGGAGCCAAAAAUGCUUGUUGACACUUGCUAACACCACUUGAAUACUACGUUGUCAUCCCCAGCAUGGCACUAGAGUGUACUACGGUAUUUAUACGCACACAGAUGAAUCCGCAAGCGCACGGAUACCGUUGUAGCUUUUACCCGGUUAAAGGUUUUAUCGUAUCCACAGGGAAACGGGAGAACUGAUCUACGCUCUAACUUAACCUAGAUAGAUAGGUAGGUGUAAAUAGGAAAGAUGGUAGAAUUGAAUAAGAACAAUAUUAAAGGUAAGAUAACAAUGGGUGAUAAUAUGGGAAUAGAGAGUAGAGCAAUCUAGUAUAUGGGCGAUGGUAGGAGAAUAAAGAGGAUAACUAUGGUUUCUCUACUUCAAAGGGGUAUGUCUAUGUCUGGGACGAACCACGUGAUAAGAAUACAUCACAAAGGAUGCUUAUCCAUAGGCUGAUAAACCCUACCCGUCCUGCUAACAGGAGGUGGACUACAGGGGACCAAUGUAACUGUCACCUACGCGGCCUACCACAUGAUCCGGCUAGACAGGGGAUAUCCACAAGUAAUCUAGGUCCAAGCACCAUGCUUACACCUAUACGACAACUCUCACCUAUAGCGUCCUAUAGAUUAAAGUACUCAAAAGAGUUGUGAACCAGAACAUACAUGGAUAGUAAUUGCAUAAUGAAAUAAGAAGUAGAUUACCAGAGUCAUCCCAUGAGCAAGCUUGAUUAGAGCUUGAUCAUGGCGAAGUACAACCAGAGGAAGAACCGAUAGGCCGGCAUCUCCUCUAAUCCUCCCUCGCUCUCCAUCUCACUACUAUCUAGAUCUACUCUAGUUUAGAGAUGAGAGGAGAGCUCUCAUCUCCAAACCCUAGCUUUUGCUCUGUCUAUGUAGAGGAAAGGUUAUCCUUCGAGGGCACCUCUCAACUCCAUAAUGAACUUGUUCUCCUCCAGGGGCCAGGGGGUCUGCUUAUAUAGUCCCCUCAGGUGAACGUGGGCCGUCGGAUCAAACCGACAUUGAUUGAAUGAUUAUCCUUGAUCCUUUAGGUCGGUGGAGCAUAAUCCGCGAGAUUGAACAUGAUUGGAAACAACACCUGGGCGGGCGCCUAAGGGGAAGGGCGACCGCCCUGCCCCCGAGCCCGAUCGGCUACCCGUUCGUUCCCGUGGCUUCUAGAGUCUUCUAGAUGAUAGAAAAUUGCGCGGCACGUUAAUAUCUCUAUGUAAACCCGACAUGUGGGGCUUUCCUCCAUAGUUCCUGAUAACCCCCUGCAGAAAUAGACAAACACCAAAACUCGUGGAAUUCUGUCAGAUAAAACCCUAAGUGUGGGUGUUGGUUGCAUUUGGAUCGUUUUCUGUAUUUAUUUGAUGAUUAUAUUUGGUACUUAAGGACUGUCAACAACCAUCCUCUCCGCCUCGUCUAGCAUCCCUGAUUCAAGCGACACCUUCUUCUCCACCUCAUCCAGUGCCUCAAACGGAAACAGACCUGGCCGAUGUGCCCGAACAGAUCACUGCUGAUCUAGGCACAUCAUCGGCCGUUCUCCCUAAACAGACAGUCGUCAUCCCUCCUCAAGGUAAAGUACCAAUCACAAAAUCAUUACCGAUGACUUCCUUUAUAAAUACCAUCAUCACCCUUUUUAAUUUCCAGUUGAAGAUAUUCCAUCGGUAGCUCCAGCCGAUCAAAUUAUAGUGCAUGCUGCAUCCCCACGCCAGAGACAAGAAAUCACCUUGAAACAAGUAAGUCAUCCGAUCUAUCAGAUUUUGCAUUAUCGAUACUUAAUUUUGGGUAACUUAUCUUCUUCUUUUUCUAGGAGCAAGAUUCUCUCGAUAGCUUGUUCUCCUUUGCCAUCGACAUCUCUGAUGCCGAAGGCAAGGAGGCAAGCUCCUCAAUGACGCUUGGAAUCGCAUCGGUAGAGAUCAAGUCCAAGCUGGAAGAUUUACUAGCUCUGUUGCAUCAAGACACAACCCAGCUAGUGGAUGAUUCUGAUCCAGCCAAAGCCAUAUUCAAGACUCUCCGUGGUUAGAUUCCAGCCGAUGCCGAGGAGAUUCUUUUUCAAGCUGCCCACCUAGAAAGUCGCCAACUUUAGUAUCAGAAGGCUACUCAAUGCCUUGCCGAUAGAGCCGCUUAUGCCCAACUCAAAGAGGAGAUGCUACAAGUGAAGCGCGCUGCCGAUGAGAAACACAAGAGCAUCGGCACUUUGCAAUCCUCAGGUGAUGAACUAAAAUAGAAGAUUUCCAAUCUAUCGGCAAGAAGAGAGGCCCUGCUUGCUGAACUUAAACAAGUAGAGGAAGCUCUGACCCAAGCUCAACAAGAAGAAAGCCAACUAUCCGAUGUGCUCAAGAAUCUUCAACAAGAGAGGGAUGCCCAAGCUCGUAAGGCACUUCUGUCACACCCGGUUUUAAAGAACAAAACCAGGCUAGCCAUAUGUGUGCCCAGGAAGUCCACACAUACAACAACAGAAGCAAUAAUAUCAAAAAUAGUGUUAUAUAGCGGAAACAUACUUAUAAUUAACACUUACAUAAGAGAAUCGUAACACAAUAACUAAUCUUCAGGCUCAAUCUUCACAGGGACGGCUGACUGGGGGUAACAUAUGCCUAGCACUUCUUGUAUUCUGAGAACAUCCUUCAUGAUUCCAUCGCUCUCCUCAUCAACUCUUACUAGUAAACUGGAGUGGUGGGAAAUAGCAAGAGUGAGCACAUAUCGUACUCAACAAGUAUAACCAGGGAUUCAUGAGGCUCAAAUGGCUGACACUGGUUUAACUGCAUUUAGCUUUUAAUAGUGGAGAGCAUGUUCAUAAUUUAAUAGCAAUUGUCAAGGUAGCAGUAAUAAUCCAUUAAUCACAUGAUCAAGUGUAAGCAUAAUUAAUUCUUAGCAUAAACGAUAAUCAAAUGAACAUAACAACUUAACAAGCUCAUCGUCGUCGCAGCAAGAACCCCCAAGGCCGCUCUUAACCGUGAGCACGGCUAGUAUACUAGUUUUAACACUCUACAGAGGUUGUACAUCUUUACCCAUGAGUCAUGAUUUACCCUUUCGCCCGAGGUGAUCAGCCUCUUAACCCACUCCCAAGGAAGGUCGGCAGGGAUCACUAUGAAGCCUUUCAAAAGUUCGUCUAACAUGUUAGGGCCGCAAGGUUUCCUUUGCGAGCAGAUAUAGAUACCCCAGGGGCUCGCACUAUACCCGUGUCGGUUCAGCCCCUCCGCCCUUUCGGGUAACCUCUAACAAGCUAGAAAAGGUCUUCAUACUAAGCUAAAGCCAGAGCCAUUAUAGCCCUCUUGGUUGCACUGUUAUCCCGGUGAUCACUUACAGACAAGAUCUCAUAUAGUUAUUUGUCAUCUUUUAACGUUUAUUGCAUAGCUAUUAAUCAUCUUACAAGAUCAUGGAUUAUAUCAAGCACUAGCACAUCUACACCAAAUGCAUAUCAAGUAGGUAGUAAGGAAUCCAGGAUAACAAACAUCUAUGAUUUUGCUAAGGUCGACAAGGUGAUAGCAUGCAUAUGAUAUAUAUGUGUAGUUAUAAGUGAAUAGGUAACAAGGAUGAUCCCAAGUUAUACUUGCCUUAAACACUUGCUUACUCCUCACAUCAUCAGCUUUCUGUCAUCAUCUUCUGAUCUUCAAUGCCCACAAACAGUUCUCGUCUACUUGCAUCAAGCACCACGCAUAGGCAAACAUACAAAGCAACAAAUAAAAGCAACUAAGAACAAUACACCACUCAAGACAAAACAAUAUACUAAAAGAGAACUAGUUCUACGGUCACAGGAUCGCAAGAAACACUAAUAACGAAGCCAUCAUAAUAAAUAAAUGACAUCAAGAGAUUUAUAUUACAUAAAAGAAACAACUACAAGCUUGAUUUAUUUUAGUUAAAUAAAACCAUAGAAAAUUUACUUAUUCAGAUUAGAUAAAUUAUAUUUAAACUUUAAAAAGUGAAAGUUAAUUAAUCAUGUUUUAUUUGUAAAUAUUAAUGUGUAGUUCAUUUAUCAAGUUAAAGUAGACAAGUGACAGCACGUGGAACAAGUUUACACUAACCAAAUUCAAUUUAAAAACACAUUUAUGUUGCUAAUAUCCAAAUUUACAGUUAGAUAUAAAAGCUCGACAUUGUCCUAUAUUGCUUUUGUUUAGCAACUAAUUUCAUGCACAUUGAUCCAAUUAAUGUUUAACUGUAAACACAAAAACUUAUGGCCUGCUAAACGUACUGUAUAUUAUAUCAAUAUAAAAUUAAUCAACAAAAAUAGACUAGCAUAAUUAAAAUGUCCGUACGAUGAAGGGUUAAAGCUGUAGAAAUUUUGUGGGAUUUACUAACAAGGAGAACCUGAGUUCACUAGAGAUGUAGAUACGUACUGUGCUUGGUCAUAUCGGACGGUUUCUCGGGCGGGCAUGUCCCAUACGUGAUCUGCUUUGCUGCUUACUUUGCUUGAACUACAGGACAACAAUGCUGUCAUUUACUGAAGAUACGUAGGCACAAAAGCUAGUGACUGUGCUGUAGAGAAUAGAUUAUGUAGGGAUACAAGGAGAUUCUCACCAAGGCUGAAGAUGAACGAACGACAGGCACAAACUUGUUGGAUGAGAACCAAAGAUCGAUCAUGGCAGCCUGGAGCGGCAAGAAGGGCGAUGAUCUGAUGAGGUUCGUGGUGGUUAUAGAGGUCUUUGAUGCGGAUCCAGCGGAUCGAUCGGAAUCAAAGGCAGCUUGACCGUGUCCAUCUUGAUGAAUCCGGCUUCUGGAGAGUGCACCACCGGCGGCUUGGACUUGCUCUUCCCAUGACCAAAGCUAGGAGAUUCAGAAGUCUAGAUUGAUCUAUGGCCUUUACGGACCACCAUCAGUUUGCCCAGAGCUAAGAUUAUUGUUGAUGGCAGCGGCACUUAUGAUCAGCAGGGCCCUAGGGCAACGGGAGCUCACUAUUUAUAGAUGGACUUGUAUAGCAUAAUGGACCUAGUGUCCUUGUAUGCGUGACACACAAAGAUGGCCUUGGAUCAUUACGUAAAAGCAUCGACCCAAAGAUACAAAAUAAAAGAAUAGAUCAAUGUGAGAGAGGAUUGCACACGGGCCUUCUUCCAUGCAUUAAUGAAAGAUUAAAGCAAAAAAAUGUUUGGUCGAAGAUGAUUUAGGAUUAUGAUUAGUUAUGCUCGGAGUUAUUUUAUUUCAUAGAUAAAAUAAUUCUAGAAAAGUCCAGAAUUAUUAUUUAAGCUGCGAAAAAUAUUUUAGGGAAAAUUCUUAGAGACAUUUUAGAACAUAAGGAACUCAAAUAAAGUAUUUAGAGCUCAUGAAAAGAUAUAUAGGAGCAUCUAAAAAAAUUAGAUUAUACCCACAGAAAAGCAAGAAAGAAUGCCAGAAAAGGUGGAAAAAUUCUUGAGAAGUUUUAAUAGGUCGAUUGAUGGAAGAUGAACUCAACAUAAUGCUUUAGAGUGGAAUAAAGGGAUAUGGAGAAAUGUAGAUGAAAGAUUAAGAUUAAGAAAGUAGAGGCUCGAUUAUAGAAAAGGAUAGAGAGACAUCGGAUAUAGAUCAACGACUUACUAAGCGCGCUUCUAAAAUUGUACCCACACACGACGCAAAGUCAAACAAAACAAAAAAAACAAGCAUCAUAUCACAUCACAUCAAGCAAAGACUCAUCAAAUUAAAUUUAGAAAAAUUUAAAGAAUGAUAUAUUUCAUAUAACUAAUUGACGCUAUUUCAAACUAAUGUUGGAAAUUUUCCAGAUUUCAAAAUAUUUAUUUAAUUAGUGUUUUCUAAGCACAACCUAAAAUUGAAAAUUUUGGGGUGUGACAAUAGGGGCUGAACCGACACGGGUAUAGUGCGAGCCCCUGUCCCUAUGUGUAUAGGCUGCGCGUCAUUGUGCCAUUCGGAAGGGGGUAUCUAUAUCUGCUCGCAAAGGAAACCUUGCGGCCCUAACAUGUUAGACGAACUUUUGAAAGGCUUCAUAGUGAUCUCUGCCGACCUUCCUUGGGAGUGGGUUAAGAGGCUGAUCACCUCGGGCGAAAGGGUAAAUCAUGACUCAUGGGUAAAGAUGUACAACCUCUGCAGAGUGUUAAAACUAGUAUACUAGCCGUGCUCACGGUUAAGAGCGGCCUUAGGGGUUUCUUGCUGCGACGACGAUGAGCUUGUUAAGUUGUUAUGUUCAUUUGAUUAUCGUUUAUGCUAAGAAUUAAUUAUGCUUACACUUGAUCAUGUGAUUAAUGGAUUAUUACUGCUACCUUGACAAUUGCUAUUAAAUUAUGAACAUGCUCUCCACUAUUAAAAGCUAAAUGCAGUUAAACCAGUGUCAGCCAUUUGAGCCUCAUGAACCCCUGGUUAUACUUGUUGAGUACGAUAUGUGCUCACUCUUGCUAUUUCCCACCACUCCAGUUUACUAGUAAGAGUUGAUGAGGAGAGCGAUGGAAUCAUGAAGGAUGUUCUCAGAAUACAAGAAGUGCUAGGCAUAUGUUACCCCCAGUCAGCCGUCCAUGUGAAGAUUGAGCCUGAAGAUUAGUUAUUGUGUUAUGAUUCUCUUAUGUAAGUGUUAAUUAUAAGUAUGUUUCCGCUAUAUAACACUGUUUUUGAUAUUAUUGCUUCUGUUGUUGUAUGUGUGGACUUCCUGGGCACACAUAUGGCUAGCCUGGUUUUGUUCUUUAAAACCGGGUGUGACAGAUUGGUAUCAAAGCUGUGUUGACUGUAGGACGUAUGCCUAGAUAGCACUGGUCGAUUUUUGAAACAAUACUUUACUAUAAAACUAUUUUAUGAUCCCUUGACUCUUUGAUUUUGAUUAUUUCUCAAUCCUUGUCUCGUUGUAUCCUCUCCUUGAUGGCUUCCUUUGAGCAAUUACUACUUACUCCCUUGAUUUUUAUUGUAUGUAGUUUUACAAAAAGUUUUCUGAUCCUACCUCAUACAAAAGUUUGAUGGCCUUUCAUCAUCUCUAAUCUACCCUUUAGGAUGACCACCAUUGUUGAAGAAACACGUGUAGUAUCGAUGUGUAUUGUGUGCUUGUCUUGUUUGGUGUGUUGCUUGUGUGUCAUCUCUGUUCCAGUGUUUUGAAGGAUGUUCUCAGAAUACAAGAAGUGCUAGGCAUAUGUUACCCCCAGUCAGCCGUCCCUGUGAAGAUUGAGCCUGAAGAUUAGUUAUUGUGUUACGAUUCUCUUAUGUAAGUGUUAAUUAUAAGUAUGUUUCCGCUAUAUAACACUGUUUUUGAUAUUAUUGCUUCUGUUGUUGUAUGUGUGGACUUCCUGGGUACACAUAUGGCUAGCCUGGUUUUGUUCUUUAAAACCGGGUGUGACAACUUCAAAUGAAGAAAAAGCUAAAGCCAGUAGAAGGUUCUGCCGAUGAAGACACCCGAGAGAUUUUGAGGAGGUCAACCAAAUUCGUCUGCGCACAAUAUCGGCCAUCCAAACCUUGCUGAACCUAUAAACUCUUCAUCGGCAGCUUGUUUAACUUCUUUCUCAAAAACUUUAAUCAUUUGGUCUAGCCGAUAGGACUGUUAUCGGCACAUAAACUCUUUAUGCAUGGCCCUUGUCCAGCCGAUAGGAUUGUUAUCGGCAUAUAUACUUUCAUGCAUCAACCUAGAUACUAGGGUAGUAUCUUUUUAUGUAUUUUCCAUUUAAUGCCCUAGGAAAUUCAACUCCUUCGAGAGUUUCUAAAAUAUAAGCAUUGCCAGGGGCAGAUCGAUUUAUCCGAUAAGGACCCUCUCAAUUAGGAGACCAUUUUCCAAAUUUUGAGCUUUUAGUCCUAAUCGGUAGAAUCAGCUUCCACACCAAAUCCCCAUUGGCAAACUCCUUGGUCUUUACCUUUUUAUCAUACCACUUAGCCACUCUCUUUUUAUUCUCUUCUAUGCUAAUUAAAGCACUUAACCGAUGCCCUACCAAAUCAUCCAACUCAUCUUUCAUCAAAGUAGCAUAGUCAUCGGCAGUUAACUAGCCCUGAGAAAACAUUCGCCUAGAACCAGUUUUAAUUUCCCAAGGUAGUACUGCAUCAUGUCCAUACACCAGUUGAUAAGGUGACACUUUGGUCGAACCAUGACACGCCAUCCGAUACAACCAUAAGGCUUGAUUUAAUAGAGUAUGCAAUCAUCUGGGAUUUUCCUCAAUCUUCCACUUAAUGAGCUUAAUAAUUCCUUUGUUAGAAGCCUCGGCCUGUCCAUUGUCUUGAGCAUAGUAAGGAGAAGAAUUCAACACUUUAAUCCCCAUACCGAUUGCAAAUUCAUCAAACUCUCCUAAUGUACUGAGCGGUAGUAAUUGUUUGGGGAAUGCCAAAUCGGUAAACAAUAUGCUCUUUUACAAAAUGAAUCAUGUUGGUUGAUGUAACUUUCUUCAAAGGAAUAGCAUCAACCCAUUUAGUGAAAUAAUCAGUGGCAACAAUGAUAAACUUAUGCCCUUUACUCGAUGGCGGAUAAAUUUGACCGAUGAGAUCAAUAGCCCAACCUCGGAACGGCCAAGGUUUAAUAAUAGGAUUCAUAGCCGAUGCUUGUGCUCUUUGAAUAUUACAAAACUUCUAACAUCCUUGACACCCUUUGAAAUACUUGAAACAAUCCUCAAGUAUUGUUGGCCAAUGAUAUCCGUUCCUUCUAAUCAUCCACUUCAUCUUAAAAGCUAAUUGAUGUGCUCCACAUACUCCCUCAUGAAUUUCACCCAUCAAGCUUUUGGAUUCAUCAUCACCUAAACAUUUAAGCAAAACUCUAUCUAUUGUACGAUAAUAUAGUUCUUCUUCAAGGAGUACAUACUUUGUAGCUUGAAACCUAACACGUCUCUCAACUUUUCUGGAUGGAUCUUUUAAAUAAUCAAUAAUUUCUUUUCUCCAAUCAUCAGCACUGACUGCCGAUAAUAUUUCCAAGAUGGAUUGAUAUUCUGAGGCAUGUUGAGCCAAUCGGUUAGCUUCUUCAUUAUGCAACCGAGGAAUAUGCUCUAAUUGGAAAUCUCUGAAUCCUUUCAAUAAUUGUACACACCUUUCAAAAUAUGCUAUCAAAACUUCACUUCGGCAUUCAUAAGUCCCAGCCAACUAAUUUAUAACGAGCAUAGAAUCAUCGAAAAUUUCGACAACAUCGGCAUGAUCUUCCUUUAAUAAUUCUAGUCCUUUGAUUAGAGCUUGGUACUCAGCUUGAUUGUUUGUCGAUGCAGCAACAAUCGGUAAAGAAAGCUCAUAUUUCUUUCCUUGAUGAGAAAUCAAUACUAUACCGAUACCUACCCCUCAAUCACAUGUAGAUCCGUCAAAGAAGAGUGUCCAAGGGAGAAUUUCCAAAGCACCCACUAAAUCACAAUGCUGAGUUACAAAAUCAUCCAUGAUCUACCCUUUAACAGCCUUAGCCGAUUCAUAGCCGAUUCAUAACGUAAGUCAAAUUCCGAUAAUGCUAAUAUCCAUUUGCCGAUUAUACCACUCAUAAUCGGCAUCGAUAACAUGUAUCUGACUACAUCAUCUCUGCAUAUGACACUGCAUUCGGCUGAUAGCAAGUAAUGUCUCAAUUUGAUACAAGAAAAGUACAAGCAUAAGCAUAAUUUUUCAAUUGCCGAAUACCAUGUCUCAGUAUCCACCAAUCUUCUACUCAUAUAGUAAAUUACACACUCCUUCCCUCCAAAUUAUUGAAUAAGAGCCCAACCGAUGACCGCAUCAUCGGUAGAUAAAUAUAAUCUGAAGGGCUUUCCAUGCUGAGGUGGAACCAAUACUGGAGGAUUUGCCAAAUAAUUCUUGAUUUCAUCCAAGGCUAAUUGUUGCUCUUUUCCCCACACAAACUACUGACCAGCUUUCAAUUUAAGAAAAGGGGUGAAAGCAUGAAUCUUACUCAACAAAUUAGAUAUAAAUCGUCUGAUAAAAUUAAUCUUGCCGAUCAAUGAUUGAAGUUCAGUUUUAUUGGUAGGAGCAACUACUUUGCCGAUCGCAUCAAUGGAUCUCCUACUAAUCUCAAUUCCUCUCUGAUGCACCAUGAAACCUAGAAACUGGCCUGCCGAUACACCAAAUGCACAUUUAUUAGGGUUCAUCUUCAAACCAUGCUUCCUUGUACAUUCCAACACUUUUCGCAAAUCGGCUAAAUGUUUUAUGAAAUCCCCAGACUUAACCACCGCAUCAUCAAUAUAGAUUUCUACCAACUUGCCGAUGAACUCAUGGAAAAUAAAAUUCAUGGCCCUCUGAUAAGUAGCACCAGCAUUUUUCAAGCCAAAAGUCAUGACUAUCCAUUCAAACAAUCCAAUAUGACCAGGACAUCUAAAUGCAGUCUUGGGAAUAUCCUCCUCAGCCAUGAAUAUUUGAUUGUAUCCUGCAUUGCCAUCCAUGAAACUAAUAAUUCAAUGUCCAGCUGCAGCAUCAACCAACAAAUCGGCAACCAGCAUUGGAUAACCAUCCAUUGGCGUAGCUUUAUUGAGAUUUCUAAAGUCGAUGCAAACGCGAAGUUUUCCAUCCUUUUUGUAGACAGGAACAACAUUAGAAAUCCAUUCGGCAUACCGACAUUGCCAAAUAAACUUAGCUUCAAUAAGUUUGGUUAUUUCGGCCUUAAUAUCAGGAAGAAUAUUAGGAUUACAUCGGUGUGCUGGUUGCUGAUGUGGCCGAAAUCUAGACUUAAUAGGCUACCGAUGUUCAACAAUUGAUCGGUCUAAACCAGGCAUCUCGGUAUAAUCCCAAGCAAAGCAAUCUUUAUAUUCCUUUAACAAAUCGGUCAAUUGCUGCUUACAUUCAGAAUCUAACUUAGCACUAAUAAAGUUAGGCCUUGGCCUAUCGCCACUUCCUAUAUCUGGUACCUCUAUUAAAUCAUCAGCCAAUGUAAACCCCUGUCCUAACUUUCCGUCAUUAGCGAACCUAUCCAUUAAAACUCUUCAUCAGAACCGACUACUUGGAUCGGUGGAAUUUCAUAAUCGGCAACCUUGAGAAAAUCUUUCUCCCAAACUUCUCUUGAUAUACAUCUAGUCUACUCAUAUGUAUCUGACUCCGUUGAUGCAACGACAUAUGAGGAAUCUCCUGGGACAAUCUCAAUCUUGUCACCUACCCACUGAACAAGGCAUUGAUGCAUUGUAGAAGGAAUACAACAAUUGGCAUGAAUCCAAUCUCUCCCCAGUAGUAAAUUAUAUGCACCUUUUCCAUUGAUAACAAAGAAGGUCGUCGGCAAGGUCUUCCUGCCGAUGGUUAAUUCAAUGCAUAUAGCUCCCUUAACUGGAGACACAUUUCCUUCAAAAUAUUUCAACAUCAUAUCGGUCUUGGUCAAGUCCUGAUCUCCUUUGCCAAGCUUCCGAUACACCGCAUAUGGCAUAAUGUUAAUUGCGGCUCCCCCAUCAAUAAGUAUUUUGGAAAUCGGCUGCCCAUCAACCCUGCCUUUGACAAACAAAGCUUUAAGAUGUUGUCUUUCAUCAUCGGAAGGCUUCUCAAAAAUAGGGAUCAAGUGCCAACUGUAACAUCUCCGAUGUUACGGUUACUAAAAACGGAUCAUGUCAUCAUAAGCAUUGCAAAGCAUAGUUGUUAAAGCACAUUUGUAUGCAUCAACUUAAAACAAGUUUAUUUUUAUUGCUUGAGCUUAGGGAGGUAGAGUGUGUUUAUGUGGAAUGUUGAUGCUUGUGUGGUUGCUAAAAUCCUAGGGUGGAAAUUUUCCGAAAAGCUAAGGGGGGAAAAACCCUGAUUUCUGGAUCCUAGAUUUGCCCCCUUUUGCAUAAGUCAAAAACUAAGCAAAAUUUGAGGUUGAGUUCAAAAGAAAAGUUGUAGCUCUUGGCAAGAUGUACAACUUUGGUGUUUUGAGUUUUUGAAGUUUCAAUACAAAAUUCAAAGUAAUUUUGAAAAUACAGAUUUCCGAAAAGUGUCCCCUUUUCCAAAUUAAACCUCCAAUUCAAAAUCCAGUGGGAAUUUUGAGAAGUGGUCAACAUGAAAGUUGUAGAACACAAAAAGUUGAGCAACUUUCAUGUUGGGAGUUUUUCAAGUUGUUUAGGAAAAACAAAAGUAAUUUUGGAAAUUCUAAUCUGCCCCAAUUCAAAAAUUUGAAUCCUCUCCAAUUGAAUUUUGAUUUCCAAACUGUUUUGGCCAAAUUCACCCUGUUACACUCAAAAUCAGCUCUGGUCACCGAAACAUGUUUUGUAGCUUAUAAAAUUUGGAACAACUUUUGUUUUGACACAAAUUUGACUCCAGUUCAAAUUUCGGCUGAAUUUCACAAAGUUCAGAAAAGAGAGGAUAAGGGUCUGCUACAGUGACCCGAUAGGGAUCACCGGCUCCCUGUCCAGCUCGGCCGCCGCGCGCGCAGCGCCGCGUGCGCGCGCGCAGGCACGCAGCCUGCCUGCCUGCUAGCGUCGCCAGGCGACGUGGAUGCCCCAGGCUCGUUCCCCUCUCCCCUUGGAACACCAGCGUAGGCGCCGCCGCGCGUUUCCUCUGUUCUGAGCCAGAGAACCCGACGAGCUUCUCUCUUCAAUUCACCGCAACCAAUCCUUCCCGAGCUGAAUUGACCGGUCCAUAGCAUCCGCCACCUCCUUGCGAACCUAGUGCACCUCCGAGCUCACUCCCUAGUCCACUCAAUCGCCGGAACACCCCCCCCCCCUCUCUUCUCCAACUCCGGCCAGGGGCGCCGCCGAGAAAUCCUUCACGUGGACACGCUGCUCCAGUCGGUACCACGCCUUGAAGGCGGUCGUUUCGAGUUCUUCUUGUUUCCCCGAUACUCAUGCGCUCGCUAUUUCUCACUGGACGCCAACAGGAUCGCCGGAACAACCUCGCCGGAGCCGGAGCACCCGCCCGACUACUCGGCCAACGACGCCAGAGUCUUCUACUGCUUCUCCCGCCGUGGUGACGUGAGCACCGUACUCCUUAACCCUCCUGGAAGCUCCCGGUUCCAUUCGUGUGCACUCUACCGGGCUCUAGCGGCCGGCCGAGGGUCGGCCAUGGCGGCCGCCCGCCUUUCUCGUGGCCGGGGUGGUGGAGGUAGGGUAGAGCGUGGAUAAAGGGUAUCAACGUGGUCGCGAUUUCGAGGCGAAGCGUUUGCGCACGCACACGCAGGCUAAAAACCUCGCUAUCGGCGGCCGGAAGCGCGGCAAGGCCGUCGUGCACGAGGGAGGCGAAGCUGACAGGCGGGACCCGCCUGUCAGCGUUCCGCAGCGUGAGGAGAGGGGGCAGCGCGCGCCGUCCACGCGGGGGAGCGCCCCCGGGCCGAAUUGGGCCGUGUCCAAGCGGGCCGUCUGCGCAGCAGUGUGGUUUUUUUUCCUUUUUCCUUUUUAAUUACAAAUGCUUGAAGUUUAAAAUUGUGUAGAAAACUGUGUGGUGAUCCAAAAAUGAUAAAAUUUUUUGUGUAGAUUCCCUGAAAUAAGUAGAACCCAAGAAAAAUAUUAAGUUCUGCUUUCUAAUAGUUUGCAAGGAUAUAAAAAUUGGCCCUUUUAAUUAGCAAAUAAAAUUUGUAUGAUUUUUAAUAAUUUAUUGGUAUGUCCAAAAAUCACCAAAUUUUGUGAACAGCCUCUGAAUAUUAUUCCCUGGCUCCACACAAAAUUUGGUGGCAUUUGGGUAAUGUUUGACUAGAAUACUAAUAAACCCUUAUUUAGUACUUAAAUAAUAAUUCCAAAACCAUUAAAAAAAAUAAAAAAUAAAUAAUAAUUAAUUAAAUUCUCAUGAUUAGGGUUGAGUGAUUUUGGGAUUGUGUGAUGACCUGAGGUCAUUAACCCUAAUGACCUUUGGCAUUUAAUUAUUGUUUAGCCUUAAUGCUUAAUUACUGUCAUUAGUAAUUAAUUAAGAAUUAAUUAAAGUAAAUAGGAUUAAUAAUCAAUUAAUUUAAGAUAAUUAUGAAUUAAGUAAAGUCUUAGUUUACAGAUGCAACCUCUUGGGUAAAAACAUUAAGAUGUUAAACAACUGUAUUUACUGAUUAUUCUGUAUUGCAUUGGGAAGGCAAAAUUGUACUUGAUUUGGCCCUUCUUGCAUAAUUGUCAUACGCAUAUCAUGAGCAUUCAUCAUUCUGCGUAUAGUGUCUGUGACCGAAGGAGCGCCCGUUGAACCGAACCCCGAGGUCGGUGCUCCGUUCGAGGAAGUCGGAUCCGAGACUUGGGAAGUCUCCGAGGGUCCCUCUCUGCCCUGCAACCAAGGCAAGCCCCGGAUGCAUUAACCCCUCCUUGAAUGUUUUAAAGCUUUUAUCACUUGUAAAUUGAAAAUGCUGCAUUAGGUAGUUAAGAAUUGGGUUAACCUACUUGCUGCAUUUACUACCUUGAUAUCUGUUAUCCUGUCCUUGACACCUGUUUUAUUUUAAAACUGCGUAGCGAUGCUUAGCCCUGCUACUAGAUAGGUUUUCAAACAAGAAAGUUUGAAGGGUUGUUGUGGGAUACACUUAUGAUCAAUGAUGUUUCAAUUUGAGACCGGUCGGUGGACUUGCUCUAAGAAUGGAGUCUUAAAGUAGUGUCUCCGACUGUGUUGAUUAAGGACCGUUCCGUUGAUGGCCUGCUGGGUUGAGAAUUUGUAGUACUAGCCACUUGCCCUCGGUAAGCCCGGUCUUGUGAUCCCUCGACGCGAACAGCUACUCGCGCACUGGGAGUGGAAAGAUGGCGAGAGUAACGUGUGCCCACCUUACGGAUCGGAGAUGACCGGAAAACAUCUAGAUCGGCUGUAGGAUGGUGGGGUACUGUGCUCUCGGGUGCCGCGAACCUGGUCAAAUUUGGGGAGAGCUUGAUUUGGGUUGAUGUAUGCAAGAUUUGGUUCUACAUAUGUCGGGUGGUUAGGAACUCCAGCUGGAUUGCUAAGCGAUUCGAAUCGUCAUUGCUCCCCGAUUGGGAGACUCAAUUCCUUCGACCCUCAUCGUAGUUAAAUAUGCAACUAAGUGAUAAAAUGAGGAAAGGGAAAAUGUCCCAUGAGGUUCGGAUCCCAAUUCCCGGACUCAUAGCGACAUGAAGCUAUGGCCAUCGAUAAAUAAUACUUUGUGAUGGGACUAGGAACUCACGGAUUCGUCUGUGGGGAACAACUAGUUAGACUGUCCUCGAACUCCUCAGCCUCUGCGAGGGAGGAAUUCGCGGGUAAAACUUGAAAAUAAGGACGCACUACUAGUAAGCUUUUUAAGCAAAACACUUUGGGCUCCUUGCUCAGCCACCCCUUGUCUACCCUAAGCCUGCAUCCCUUAGUUCUCCUCUUUUCCCAUCGGGUAAGACUUGUUGAGUACUCCCGUACUCAGGGUUUCGAUACCCCUAUUGCAGGUGAAGCGCAGGAGCCGACUUGUUUCGGUCCCUGCUGUGUGACCGUCGUCGAGGUUGACGACGAAGAAGAGUGAGCGUGACCCAUGGGCAGGGUCUGUAAAUUUGUACUCUCUGUAUUAAAGUUUAAGUUGCUCCGCUGGACCAGGCUUGUAAUAACACUCUACUAUUUGGAAGAACUCCUUUUGUAAAUUAAGUUAUGUAACACUUCCGUUGUUUCCCUCUGAAAUAUUAUUUUUGGUCUUGUGUCGUCGAGUUACUGCUUUAUCUUCGCAGCGAAUGAUCCUGGUGUUAAGGUGGCCACUUGCUAUCCUAUAAAGGCGAGAAGAAGCAGUUCUCGUUGUUUGACCAUUCCCAGUGGUCAGGACGAGCCAGCUUGGUACGCCACAGGUAGCAGUGGAAUGAGCACCCAGCGAUGCUCAUCGGACUUCUAAAGUGGGAGGACUCCCAGCAUCACCGUCAGAGGUCCUUAGGACAAUGGCAGGUGCCGGUGGGUCCAAACACUUAGGGGGUUCUGCCACACCAACUGAGCUAUCUGACCAGCGAGACUUAUUUCCUCAUCAUCACUAAAGAGCGCAAGAAAUUCCAUCGGCAACAUAAACACCAUGGUAACAUCUGCUAAUGGCCCUUUUCCUUUGGGAUUUGUUUGCUGCUGAUUCUCAGACUUAGAAAAAUUCUCCUCUCUAUACAUAUCUACUUGGCGUUCUCACUGCAUUCUCCUUUUCUGCGUCCUUGUUAACCCCUCUAGGCAUUCUUAACGUUAUUACCAAAAGUAGACUUAGUUUUCUAAUUCUGAUAACGGCGCCAAAAAUGCCAAACCUAUCCCUCAUGUCACUUAAGCCAAGUUGUCAUCCCUAGCAUGAAAUGAGAGACGCGGUAUUGAAAUAUGCAAUUGCUCUUCUGAAUGAAUAAUAAAUGAGAUCUGCAAGCGCACAGAUUAAUACCGAUGUAGCAUUUUAACCAGGAAGUAUUCUAGGUAUCGAUAUUUAUAUUUUUACCACCGGGAAGGGAUUGCUAAUCAUCAAUAUUGAUUAUGGAAUGAAAUAUGGAAUUGAGUAUCUAUCAUUGCAUGUGUAAUAGAGAGUAUUUAUCUAUCUCUUUCAUACAGGGAUAAAUGUCACAUAAAAUAUAGAUAAAGUAUGAAUGGUGACAAAGAUAAUUAAUCUGAUCAGCAUAACUAGCCACAUAUAGUAAGGAUAAGCACCUCAACAGAUAUCCUAGUAAGUAAUUAGCAUGGAAUUAGGAUGAACUACGAGAAUAUUUCCUAAGUUAUCCUUAACUCUAAAGUCUAGCAUAUCAUAGUUAGUGCAAUUAUAUUUGGCAAUCAUUGCGAGACAGGACUACGCCCAUGCAUAGUGAUAUUACCAAGGAAGAUGAGAAACAUAGCAAUCACUCCCCUCUAAUAAUGUUGCUCUGCCUGCCCUAUACACAGGAGGGGGACUAUAUAAGAAUCAAUGGAGCUGUCACCACCACGAACUACCCCGCGAUCCGGCAUAUAGGGUACAAUCGCAGAUAAAUACGGUAUAGGCACUACGCCUACACAAUACUUAUCAUUUACCCACUGUACACAUGGAUAAACGCUAUACGAUCCUAAACAUGUAUAUAAUUCCAAUCUAACUAAGCCAAGCUUAUAACUAUGAUAAACUAAGAACGAUAUAAUUGCAAAUAUAAACAAGUAGAGCAAAGUCAUAAUCAAUAUAUUGAAGUAGAACAAAGUCAUAUUCAUAAUAUUAAAGAACAAUGAUGAACAAAUGAAGAACAGUAGAGGAAUUACUAAGAAUCCUCUUGAUAGAUCCGGAAACCAAUCGAAGAUUGACUCCUUCUAGUUCUAAUCCUAUGUAGCUAUGCUAAAUUAGAGAUCUAGUUGAUGUGGUGGCUCUAGGGCUUGAUCAGAGACUUCUUCUCCCGAGAUGAAUGAAUGAAUUAGGGUUUCAGAGGUCCUCUCCUCUAGGGACCAGGGGGCCUGCUUAUAUAGUCCUUCCAAAUGAAUAUGGGCCAUCGGAUCCAACCGACCUUAAUCGCACGGUUUCCUUAAUCCUCUAGGUCGGUGGAGCAUGAUCCACGAGACUCAGCCUAAUUAGCUGCUGAGCCAGGGCGGACGCCCAAGGGGGGAGGGCGGGCGCCCUGUCCCCAGGCCCGCUCGGCCUCCCGCUCGUUCCCGUGGCUUCUGGACUCUUCUAGGUUAGGGAAAAUUGCGCGGCACGUUAAUAUCUCUAUAUAAACCUGACGUGUGGGCCUUUCCUCCAUAAUUCCUGAUAACCCCCUACAAAAAUAGACAAACACCAAAACUCGUGGAAUUCUGUCAGAUAAAACCCUAAGUCUGAGUGUCGGUUGCAUUUGGGUCCUUUUCUCUAUUUAUUUGAUGAUUAAAUUUGGUACUUAAGGACUGUCAACAAACUCCCCCAAGCUUACCUCUUGCUCGUCCCUGAGCAAGGAUAAUCUCAGUGAUGGAUCAGAAGUUGCUGAAAUGCCUUUGAGUUUUGAUGGUACACAUGCUUUCAAAUAAGGUCUCAUCUCUGAGUUAGAGUAAACCGUCAAGACUUAAAACUUACUCAUUUUACCUUUCACCAUGGGACUUGUAACCGUCACUUCUAUCUUGAGCAGUUAAAAGAUAGAAUGGUCUAGUCAAGCGCCAAAUUUCUUAUUCUUGAUCAGCUAUAGCUCUGGAGUUUUUGUAGAUUUUCAAAUAAAACUCAGAGAUUCCUUAUAUGACUCUCUCAGAUCUCUCUUUUGUGGUAUUUCUGGAUCCUUAACAAGGCAGCGAUGGUAUAUGCCUUCUCUCAAAGUAUGUAGUAUUUGUGGUAUAAAGUAUAGUGACCUUGUCUUCUCUCUCACCCUACUUUCAUAAGGCUUUUGAUAUCUAGAGCUCAUAGGUGGGAGAUAAAGUAUACAUACUUACAAUACAUUUAUUGCAUAGUCAAACCAUGGAUCCAGAGAAACAUGUCAAUAAGUCAAAUCAAGAUGUGCAUGUGUGGCGAAUGAAUGGUGUAUUGUGAUGAUGGUGAUAACAAUGGUGAAAGUCUAAUUCUACUUUUUGCCCUUUUGAGGGGAUGCUUACCUUUCUUGCUCUUUUGAAACUUUUUGAGGAGAAUGAGAUGCUCUACAUUUUAUUUUUCUUUCCUCUCAGGUGGGUAUUGCACCCCUAAUUCUACUGUCGGACACUUGUCCAUUUUUUUACCUCUCGUCUCACUUUUUCUUUUCUUUCGAGGUUUCGGGCACUUGUCCCUUUUUAUUUCCUCGUAUCCUUUCUUUUUUAAGCACUCAUCUCCUAAAAUAAUAUAGCAAGUGGUAGUAACCAAGAUAACUUGAGCAUUUAUUCCACAGGGAAAAACAGAAAUAGGAGAAUGUUUUUGGCUAUUCUCUCCCGAAUUAGGAGUAGAAUACUUUUGGGUGGCUCUGGAGAUGGAAAUGAGUGGAUAUAUGUGGAUGCGUACUUCCAGAGUAGAAGCAGCAUGUGUGAGUGAACGUGCAAGUGAAUCUUGAUUUUAACCGCAUGACAAGCUCCUAAAGGUCUACACAGCUUGACCACACUCAAUGCUUAUAAGCAGUAAAAAGUAAAUGUGUGGCUCAAAGUCUAGCAAGCAUGUAUAUAUGGCUGUGGUAGGAAUUUAAACUCUCAUCAUACACGAACUCAUCAUGUGUUAUUUUAAAGAUUUUCAAUGAUAAAUUCUCUAGAAUUCUAGCAUCUCUAGGAACAGAUAAAUAGCAGCUCAACCUUCCUAUAUCAUAUCCGUUAACAACUUAGACUUCAGAUCAAGUUCUCUUCCCACAAGUUCAAGUUUUUAGAGCAAUCUUUAAAUUAUAACAGUUAUGUCUAAACUAGAGAGAGAACUCAAAUUUGAAAAUUAGGCAGAGCAACUAUUCAUCAUAUCCAUGCUAGAGUUUUAUUAAGAUUCAGUUUAGCAUAGCCACUUUAUUUAUUUAUUAAGCACAUUAAGCAAAAGAUAUAUAUAUAUAUAUAUAUAUAAGAACAAAAUCUUUAUUUGGUUUUUCAUGGUUAUGUAUAUUUUUUUUUAAUAUAGUGUAAGUAUAAAUGUAGAUAGAAAUACUUAGCGGGAUAAAUGGGGGUGCUCUCCCCCAAGCUGGAUUUUGACAUAAUUUCUUCUCAUAUAGCUAGCAGGUGGUGGAGGUGUAUUUGAAAGUCGGUAGCACCCUGACAGCGAUUAGAAUGUCCUCCGUCUGCUAGUCUUCUUGAUCCUUGAAUUCUGUGGAGCUCAAAUAGACAACAAAGCUUUGUGGAACUGAUUAGGUGUUAGCAUAAAUAUCUAGCCUUUAUCAUGUUGAGCCUCCUCAAUAAAUGCUACUUUCUUUGGUAGGAUCACAAUUUUAUUUUUAUAUUUUCAUUUUUAUAGAGCAGAAGGAUAUUUUUAUUUUAUUAUUUUUUUAUGCCACCACAGUGAAUGUACUUAUGGGUUUUAUGCCACUUCUAUACUCACAUGGGGCUUACUGGUUUUAACAUUUUUAUUUUUCUUUUCAAGAUGUUAUGAACCUGAUUAACUGAACUAGCUAUUUUUAAGAAAAAGUAAAUGAUUUGAAAGGAAAGGGAUAACUACCGAGUUUACCUCUUGGCAAGGCGUUCGGUGUUUUUAAGUCCUCCGAGCGGGACUCUCUGUUUUCUUAGUUGUCCUGGGAUUCGCUGGAUAGCGUAGUCGGUGGUUCCGGCGGCGCCUCCUCUUCGUGUAUAACUAUCUUCUCUCUCCACACCUGACUCGGUGCUACAGUCUCCUCAGGACAGUUCUGUUCAAGCUGUAUGUCUUCAGACCUUACCACUUCUCCUUCGUAGUCUGCCCAUCCGUCCUUGAUGAUUUGCAUCCUCUGGUUGCGGUUGUGUCGUCUUCUUCUUGUCCUGAUCUGCUUAGAGUCUUCAACUAUAUAGUUAGGGUGAGUAAAAUAGCGGCGUACCUUCUCAGAGGGGAAGUGCAUGUGGACUUCUCCGGUUCCAAUGUAGAUGAUUUCUUUAACGGUGCUGAGGAAUGGUCUCCCAAGGAUGAUGGGUGGAUCGUACUCGUCUUCUCCCAUGUCAAUAACCUGAAAGUCUGUAUGGACAAAAUGAUCGUAUAUUUUGAAAGGGACAUCAGUUACUAUACCUUCAACCUUUUGGAAUGUCUAAUCUGCCAUCUCGAGCUGAAUGUAUGUCGGUUUUAGGGGCAUGGUUCCGAAUAGGAGCUGAUAGGUGACUGCGGCCAUUAUGUUGACGCCCGACCCGAUGUCGCAAAGCGUCUUGUGGAAGUUGUAUCCAUUAAUGGAGCACUGGAUGCUUGGCAUACCUGGGUCGUCCUUCUUGGUCAGGAAUGGUGACUUGAGUCGACGAUCUUGACCUCUUUAAACUACAGUGACCAUCUUAGCUGACUUGGUCCACACUUGCUUGUUCCUGUUCCUCCUAUUGGUCCUCUUCCUUGGUUCAUGUCGGUAUUGCUCUGGGAUUUGUGUAGUCUUGUUCUUGAAGGAAAACGUCUCCUUCCUCCCCUUGAUGUAGAAACUGAUAUUGGCAGCACUAGCGUAGAUGACAGCUCCCGAGGUGUUCAGGAAUGGCCUCCCUAAGAUGACGGGUGCCCUCUCAUUAGAACCGGUCUCUAUCACCACAAAGUCUGCUGGGGCGUACAAGGUGCCAACUCGGACGCAGAGGUUAUUCAAUAUUCCCUUGGGGAAACUUAGCGUCCGAUCUGCAAGCUGCAAACACAUGGUUGUUUCUAGCAAAGGAUGUGUAAAUAAUUUUUCAUAGAGUACCCUAGGCAUAAUGUUGACGCUGGAGCCAAAGACGCAGAGUGCUUCUGGGAAGUCCACCAUGUCGAUGGAGAUCGGGAUGACGGGGUGUCCUGGAUCGCCUCUCUUGACCGGUAGAAGGUCAGUAGUUACUUCCGCAACGGGGUUACUCCAAUAGUCACCUGUAUCAAACAUGUCUACAAGAUUUGCAGAUUCUAAUCCUUCCGGUUGUGAUGGUAUACCGGGGUUAGUAGCAGGAACAACAACAGCUAUUUGAUUUAACUGAGAUUGAUGGCAGUAGAGAAAUUUUCCAUUCUAUUAUUUAUAUUUUCUAACAUUUUAUCAUUAGAUGCCAAUUUCUUAGAUAGGUUAUCCAUUAGCUUUCCUUAAUUAGACACUAACUCUCUCAGAGGUGGAAAAUUAUUAUUAUUAUUGUAAGAAUUCCUACCUUGAUAAUUACUUGAGUAGUUAGGCCUCUGUUGAUUCCAACCUUGAUUUUGUUGAGGACGGUUGUAGUAGUUGUUGUUGUUGUUGAUGAUUAUGUAGUUCACGUCCUCAAGCAUCUCAGGGCAGUGAUUGCGUGAGUGUCCAGUAUCUCCACACCCCUCACAAGUCAUGUGAGAGUCGUAGACGUGCAUGACUUCCUUAUUAUCUCUAGCUUUAUCAUCGAGCUUCUUCAUGAGCAGGUCUCGCUUGGCAGACAGGAUGUCUACCUCCUUGAGCUGGUGCAUACCUCCACCUCUCUUGCGUGUCU
RNAcentral lists this long non-coding RNA (81129 nucleotides) under Sorghum bicolor (sorghum). RNAcentral's name for it is "long non-coding RNA (SBIC_LNC012082)". The record is from RNAcentral. Lineage: Eukaryota; Viridiplantae; Streptophyta; Magnoliopsida; Poales; Poaceae.